This 53799-nucleotide long non-coding RNA is filed under the name Triticum aestivum (bread wheat). RNAcentral's name for it is "long non-coding RNA (TAES_LNC013945)". The stretch from base 26401 to 26492 matches the Rfam family "skipping-rope RNA". The record is from RNAcentral. Lineage: Eukaryota; Viridiplantae; Streptophyta; Magnoliopsida; Poales; Poaceae.
CGUGGCACACGUUGAGGCGUCUCACCACACCUUCAUACUCCAUCUCACAAUAACUAAGAACGUGCAUUGCCACUGUUCCCUUCUUGGCAUCUUGCAGCUUUUGCUUGAUCUUACCACUAGCGGCAGUGACACGGCUCUUAAAGAUGUCGACAGUGACAAGCACUAAGUCACGGAGGUCCUUAGCCUCGGCACUUCGAUUGUCCGACUGAAGGGUGGACAAACAGAAUUCUUGCGUGAUAGAUUUGUUGCAGGGGUUGUUGAUCGAGGCCUUCUUGCAUGCUUCCACCAUGAGCUUGGUCGCCUUGGGCUUGCCAGUGUCAGAGCCACUAGCAUGAGUGGAAAAAAGGAAGAAUAUGAUGGUGGAGAGGACGAUGGUAGUCCUUGGCAUUGCUACCAUUACUACAGGGCUAGCUAGAAGCCUUGAAGUACUGAAGCGCUGAGAGGGAGGUGGAGAAAAAUAGACAGAGAAGGAUGUGUAUUGCAGAGAUGGAUGGGUGGAUGGAGGUGAUGUACAUGAGGCUGAGAAUUCUUUAUAAUGCCUGCAAUGGGGUAUCAUAAAUGCAGUAUGCAGCUUUGGUCCAGAAUAUGUGUACUAUCGGUGUCCAGUAAAUGUUGAAUGCCCAUUUUGGAUCUCUACAUAUUAAUGCUCUCUCUAUGUUCACAAAUACACAGAUGCUCACUAUAGAUCUUGUUGUAGUAACACAUAUCUUACUUAUAUGAAUCCAUUAAUGCAACGUAGCUUGAUCAAGGAUAUCCCAAAUGAUUAGUGUGCACCGAAUGCCCAUAGAUAUGUUGAUGCUCAUUUUGGUACGUCUUAUUUGCAUUGGUGUUUUCUAAACAUCAUUUUGUAUAACUGAUUUGUUACUUCUACCUCCCUUUGGGGGACGAUUAUAUUUUCCCUCAUCAAGUCUAUAAUUGCUCAUUUUUUCUUUGCAAUUUUCGAGUAGUUACAAAUAAUUCUCAGGGAGCAGGCACUUAGUUAACUUGGUGACACAAUAAAUAUUUUUGUUAAAAUAUCAAAGUUUUAUAUCUUAAAUUUUUUUAUUUCCAAGUCGAUUAUUGUCUGAUGGGUUGACUUUUACAACAGUUGUAUUCCCCCAGUUAAAAAUCACAACUUAUUUUAGGGAUUAAAUGAUGCCAGCCGGACUAACAUAUCAUUCGUAGGCACUGUCAAAAAAUAAGCAUGUUUACUGCCCACCGCCUAAGAAAAUAAAAAAAAAUUACCAAUACCAACACGUCACAGUAUGGGUUUAUUUGGUUUCGAUUCUCGUUACUACGUAGUAGGAAGGAAAAAAAAGAGCUAUCGAUCAUAAGGAGGUAACCUGUAUCAUAGGUACAUGAUGCGCACGUACACGCCGGUAUCUUAUAUUUUAUAUUUUAUAUCUUAUAUUUACUAAUUGGAAGCACCUUUCAAGCCUUCUCAUUAAUCAACAUUAUAAAAAUUAAUUACACCGUUGUAUUAUAGAAUUUACGUCUAAGAUGAAAGGAGAACUUACGUAACAUAAACUUGGAAGGAAAAAAGAUAUAGGGAAAGGAGAAUAAAAAUAGAAGUAAAACAAAGAAAAUAAUUUAGAUGGGCCAGCCCAUUAUUGUUUGCCUUGUGCGAAAUUCUGACUAUUUAUGGCGCUGUGCGGAAAAUAGAGUUUUUCCAGCUGCAUGGGCAGAAAAAUAAGUGGGCUGGCUUUGCUGGGCCACCGCGCGUGGCCCACGUACAACAAUUCUUUUUCUAGCAAACAAACGCAUAAGACCUUUGUACCACCUCGGGUAGAAAGAUUGUUUUUUCGACGGUGAACGGAUGAAAAUAUAGGCAAAACGCACCUUGCUUCAUUAGUAGUAGCACAUAUGCCCGUGCAUUGCAACGGGAGAGAUGUUUCUUUGGAGAAGCAAUGGGAGAGAUAAUUGAUGUAUCCACCAAAAAUGAUCUCCAUAGCGGUGUGAUAGAGAGAGGAGUUGUGGUCUUCUAGCGGGUCAUGUUUCUCCCGCCAGAUAUUGAUAGUGGUGCACUUAGUCGGCAUAGCGGCAACCAUACAACUCGUGCAUUUUUUUCCUUUGGGUCAGUCUCUGUCUCGGGGUUGUGUCUGCCUCUACGUUUGGUAGCUAUGCGGCGACCUUCAGAGCACGGUUGCUUCGACCACUCUCUCUUAUGAUGGCGUAACCGGAUGAAUUACUAAUUGUAGCGCUUAAAUCCUGUUUCAUUAGCAUAUAUAUUUAGCGCAUAACCAGAUAUCAAUGUCCCUUCUUUAUUAGGGUUUAUUUUCUUUGAUUAUUUUAGCGCUCACGUGCCCACAACUAUUUUAUUCGAGCCAAACCAACAUAUUCUCUUUUAUUGGACCAAGAAAAAAUUGCUCCCUCAGACGACUCAGUAGGGAGUGUGGUUGAGGCCCAAUACAGCCUAUAUGACGCUAGUUGCGUAAAAUAACGUGUGAGAUGCACAUCAGUUCGUGUAUGGACCAACACACUGGUAGGCGCCAAGACGACCUAUGUUAGGAAGGCACGGAAAAAUCCAAAAAAUAAUGAGUUGAAGGAUCAAAAUCAUGUCCUGAAAGAGCCGACUACGUGCUCAUUGCCACUCGAAGAAACGAGUCCUACCAACCAAUGGCCAGCUCAAACCUUUAAGAUCAUACUCCAAUGUGAGAUUGGAUACAAUUUUUUUAACUGUUUAAAAAAUAUAAAUUGCUGAAUAUUCCUGAAAACAUGAAUAAUUUUUAAAAUCACAAACACUUUUUGAAAUUCUUUACAUUUUCAGAAAUACACAACAAAAUUGGAAACCCUCAAAAUUCACAAAUUUAUUUGAAAUCAUAAACCUUUUAUAAUAACAUGAACACGUUUUGAAAAUGUGAUUUUGUUUGAAAAAGAAACAUAUUUUGAACAUUCAAAACAUUUUUUGAAAAUGUGUUUCUAUAAACUUGGACAUUACUUUGAAUUUGCGAACAUUUCACUAAAACAAAAAUAUUUUUCAUAUUUGGAACAUUUCCUAAAUGCAUUUUUUUUGGGAAAAUCUCAAACAACUUUGGAAAACACAAAGAAAAAAUGGAACAUUUUUUGAAACGUGAACGAAUUUUGGAAUGAGAACAAAGCACUAUUGGGAAAAGGCUAAUUAGUGGCGCACAUAUUUUUGCUAUUAAUGGCGCACUAUAGGUGCGCCAGUAUUACCACGCCACUAGUAACAAAUAGUAAUGGCGCAUCUAUAGUGCGCCAUUACUAUGCCUAGAAGGUGCGCCAUUACUAUCUGACUUAGUAAUGGCGCACCACAUAGAAGUGCGCCAUUACUAACAAUUUUUUUUCAAAAAAAAUAUCCAAAUUUUUUCAAAUAUUUUUCCCUUUUUUUCUUAAUCUCAGGUCAAUAUGCUUAAUCUCAAGUCAAAUCGAUCCUAUUAAACCUUAUUGAUGUCUAGGACUUUGUUCAUGUUCAUGAGUGUGAUGAAAUUUCAAACUUCCCGGUCAUAUUACGUAUCAUAUUUUGAAAUGUUACUAGUGGCGCACCUAGCAAAUGGUGCGCCACUAGCAAGUUUGAUUUUUUUUGUUUUCCCCUCUCUAGAUCCUAAAAGCCCCGUAUCUUUCAUUCUGUUAGGUUUUUGUGGAUUCUGAAAAUCUUGUAACUUUUCGAGUAGAUGCUUUUUCAUAUAUAAAACUUUUUAAUCCGAGUUCAUAUGUAAAAGUUAUGCCCAUUUUACUAAAUUCCAGAGAGAUUUUGCAAAUAAAGUCGAAAUUUAUAUUUGUAAAUUUUCCCAAAACCUAGACCACAUAUCACAUGGAAAACUUAUUUUCUUUUAUUUUUUUGACAUUUCCAUCAUUUUCUUUUUUUUUCUAAAACUGAAAAGACGGUCCAGGGGGUGGGGGUGCAAAGAAAGUUAGUAAUGACGCACCUUCACAAAGUGCACCAUUAUUAUGUGUAUGACUUGGUCAAACCUUGGUCAAAGUUAGUAAUAACGCACUUUGUGUAGGUGCGUCAUUACUAAGUUUGACAUACUAAUGGCGCACCUAUGCAAAAAUGCGUCAUUACUAAGUUUGAUCAAGGUUUGACCCAGUCAUACACAUAGUAAUGAUGCACUUUGUACAGGUGCGCCAUUACUAUGUCAACUAGUAAUGACGCACUAUCCUCUAGUGCGCCACUGCCAACAAUUUUUUUUAUUUUUUCUUCAAAACUAGUACUAGCGCACCACACACCAGGUGCACCACUAGUAAUAUGUCAAUAAUGUUGCACCUGUAUCUAGUGCGCCACUGCAUAUAUGGUGCGCCAUUAAUGUCCACAUUAGCUAUAGCCCUUUUCCUAAUAGUGAAGAUUUAAUGUUCUGAACAUUUUUCGAAAAGGAAUAUUUAUUAACAUCCCAAACAUUUUUAAAAAACGGAUUUGUGUGAUAUUAUGAGUUUUAUUGAAAAUUUUGGUUUUACGAAAAAAGGGGAGAUAAAGAAAUAAACUUGAAAGUAAAAAAGAAAAAAGAAAAGAAAAGAAAAUAGAAACCAAUGGAGAAAGAAAAAUAGAAACAUAACACAGAACAAAAAAAAACGGUUCGACCGAGCUCGAGCGCCCGAUGCGAAUUUGUGACUAUUUUGGAAUGAGAACAAAUAUUUAUAUUAUAAACUUUUUCAAAAAGGAAUAUAUUUAAAGUUCUGAACAUUUUUUAAAAAAAUUGAUUCUUAUGAUAUUAUGAAUUUUUUGAAAAUUUUGAAUUUACAAAAAAAGGGAGAAAAAUAAACUUGAAAGGAGAAAACACCAAAGAAAAAGUGAAAGAAAUGGAAAAAAAUAGAAACAUAUUUUAAAGUUCUGAGCAUUUAAAAAAAUCGAAUUUUUAUGAUAUUAUGUAGUUUGUUGACAAUUUUGAAUUUACGAAAAAAGGAGAAAAAGGUCAACUUGAAAGGGAAAAAGACCAAACAAAAGGAGAAAGAAACGGAAAAAGAAAAACAGAAACAUAACACAAAACAAAAAAAAGAAUAUAUUUCAGCCCAGCUUGGGCGCCCAGUGCGAAUUUACGACUAUGUAACGCUAAUUGCGAUAAAUAGGAUUUUUCCACCUGCAUGUACACGAAAAUAACUGGGCUGGAUUUCCUGGGCCAAUACUGUGGGCGGCCCAUGUACGAGAUCUGGCGUUUUUCUUUUCUAAUAGACAAACGGACAAAAAAAUUGUACCACCUCGAAUAGAAAAAAAAUCUUUUCGUUGGUGAACGGAUGAAAAAAUCAAAGAAACACACCUUGCUUUAUUAGUAGGUAUAGAGGUAUAGAUAUAGAUAUAGAUAUAGAUAUAGAUAUAGAUAGUAUUGAUAGAAAAAUGAAAUUUUCCAUCCAUGCUAAUCUUAACAUAAAUUGUUUAAGAAUUCGUUGGUACACAUAAAAACAUCUAAUGUGAAUAAUCUAUGGUUCUUAUAGUAUUUGCUAGGAUAUCAUGUAUGUUAAAGGAAAGUCAUGCAUGCAUGUGUCCAUUAUUGUGUAUAGAAACAAAGUAUUUAUAAUUCUACCAUUCUUCCGUGGCAAAAACAAGCAUGUAUUCCUUCUUUUAGGUUAACUAAGAAAGGCUACAAUAGAACACUCGACCUUUAUGCCUUUUAGAAACUUCUAGAUCACGAGUGCAUGAUGCACACAAUAACUUUUGCGUUUGUAACUAUGUUUUCUACCAACAUAAAAAAUAUACCCUUAUAUAACCUUCAUAAAGUAGCACAUUCUUAUUUCCACAUAUCUUCUAUAAAUUUGACGUGAUUUUCCAUCACACAGCGAUAUUUUUAUACUUUUGUCACAAAAUUGGACAUAAACAAUCAAUCACAAAAUAGUCAAAGAAUUGUAACUUCAUUGGAUCCAAUGUGCAUGUGUAAUAAUAAUAACCUAUAUCCAAAUGAUUGUUUGAUAUUUAUAAUUUGUCAAAAAUAUGUUAUAUCUGAUAUUACAAUUGCUAGCCCGUGCAGGUGCACGGAUUGACGACUAGUGAUAUGUAGAUAGAAUUAAUUAUGAUUACCACUCAAUAAUUUUUCUUUAUGGAUAUCCAAAUUUAUGUUUAGAAUCAACAUUUCUACUUCAAUUUUUUCCGGGGAUUUUUUUACUUAGUAAACAUAUGGAUAUUUAGAAAUUUUUUGUGCUAAUUGUGUGCUCUCCUUAGCCUAUGUUACAAUGCAUGGUUUUCUCGGUUAUUUUAGAAAAUGCAUGUACUUCUCUAUCGCCAACUUCUCACAGAUGGAGUUAAGUUUCGUAAAAGUUUAGAAUGGCAGCCAACAUGAAAAAAGAUAAAAGUAUCAUCAUUUGCACAUUUUUUUUCACCUUCUUCACUAUCUAUAUUUAUGGAUAUUCACUUUGCGAUUUAUAUUUUCCCAAUUCGCUACAAAAGCGCAGAACAAACAUUUUAGAAAAUAAAUGCAAAAUGUGUAAAAUAAAAUGUGUAGGUACAUAAUUAAAAAUCUUGGACGACGAUAACUGCCACACGUGUGGCAUCUAGGGGCUAUGUGCCGCACGCCCCGUGUGGCAUCGACACAGGCCCGCCCGCACGAGCACGUCCGCGUGCACCCCACCACAGCCCGCACGUUCGGUGUGCGGCGCAAUCGCCCGCACUAGCACGUCCGGGCGAGCGACCUCACGGCCCGCACGACCCGUCUCGGCCCUCGCCCCUCCCCGCCUGCGAGCCACACGCCCCGCGUGGCAGUAACCACGCGUCCCGCCGCGAUUGCCAUGGUCUGAACCCUCUUCCAUGUUCGUUUAACUGUAGUUGCCAUGUUGCUGAACUGCAGUUGCCAUGUCUGACAACUACAGUUGCCAUGGUUGCUCAACUGCAGUUGCCAUCUCAGGUCAAGUGUCGGAUGCCAUUUUUGGGCAACUGUAGCUGUUGCCAUGUAUGGUCUGGUCUACUACAGUUGCCAUGAUUUGAAAACUUUAGGAUUUACAACCUACUAACACUAGACAGUUGCCAUGUAGCACUACAAAAGCAUGGCAAAAAACAUGUUCAGGUAAAAGAGAGAGUUGCCAUCUGCUUACAAGCACACUAGGGCAGUUGCCAUGUACCCUGCAAAAACACAUGGCAACUGAUAGCUUUUGGUGUGUGGGAGAGGAGACGGGCAUGUGGGCGACGAUGGUAUCUUUAGGAGUUGCCACCUACUAACACUAGACAGUUGCCAUGUAGCGCUACAAAACAGACGUGUCAACAAUAACAUGUUCGGGGUAAAGAGAGUUGCCAUCUGCUUAUAAUCACAAAUAGGGCAGUUGCCACACACUAGCACUGGACAGUUGCCAUUUAGCGCUACAAAAACAGACGUGGCAACAAUAACAUGUUCGGGGUAAAGAGAGUUGCCAUCUGCUUACAAUCACAAAUAGGGCAGUUGCCAUGUACCCUGCAGAAAACAUGACAAAUGACAACUUGGUGUGGGAGAGUGGGAAAAAGGGCAGUCAUGGGAGAUGGGGAACAGAAGUCGUGCGCGGCGUGCGGGCGCGACAGCAGUUCCACCGCACGCCCCGACUCGCAAUCGGUCUCGUCCGAGGGAGAAACAGCGUGCGGGCGAACUACCUACACACCACACACCGGGCUUGUCCUACUUGGCACACCAAAUCCAACUUUUGGUGUCAGGAUUCAUGCAAAAAACAACCAACGACAAUCCAGGCGUGUGGGCGAGUUGAAAACGUUCCACGCGUGUAGGCGUUAGUGUUUCCGAAAAUCUUAUAUCUCCGUCUCAAACAAACAAAAGCCUCCUUCCAUAAGAAACAGCUCAUACGUGAAACUCUUCUCGCCUAUUAAAAAAAAGGAAAAGCAUCCCUCCCCGAAAAAAGAGAAAACGUCUUCACUAGCUCCUGUACUUUUUUAGGCAACCACGUCUCCUCUAUAUGGCCAGAUCUUUCAAGGCUUCUUACUAAUCAGACCACUACGUUGUAAAUUUAUAUCCAAUAAAGAAAACCUGCCGAAUCAUAGAUGGUCUCGUCCAAAAAAAUGUCAUGUGAUACGUCCAACGUUGUCAAAAAAACAUCCUCCAUUCCUUAAAGAGAAAAGAUAGCGUCCUUAGAAAAGCACUACCAAUAAAAGGAAAAGAAAGACGGAAUCCAAUUGAUGACCGAUGAAACUCCAUAAAUAAAAUCUUCUGUCGAUCGAUUUUAAAAGAAGAAACAUCUGGCUCAGUUCCUCUACAUGGCCGCAUACUCCACUUCCUCUUCAAUCCUGCUCUCCUACAUGUGGCUGGUGGUGGCGAUUUCUCUAACCGAAGGAUAUACCCAACUCGCCAUCACCAUCAAGUGCGCUCUCCCACCAGCAGGGCCAACAACAAACUGCAAAGGAACCUGACGACAGGUGCUGCGAGGUAUGAUGCAAGAUCGACUGCGACCCCAAGCGGCAAUCGAUCUUCCUCAUUGUUAUUGUCACCGCGUCUCCUUCCAUCCACCCCGGGCAUCAAAGUUCACCCUAUUUUAUGAUAAUAAAAAAGUCCAACUACCAAGUACAAGCUCUAAUAAGUUCUUCUUGGAUUCAUGCUCCGACAAGACUAUGAUCCAACUAUGAUAAUAAUGGAUUAAGGCGCAGAUUGCUAACACUUAUCUGCAUAUAUAGUACGUAUGCAUGUCUUUAUUUUGAUCUUAGAAAAAAGAGAAAAUUAGCUAUUAAAGCAUCUUUAAAUACAUACAAAUUACCGAAGUAACAAGAAAAUAUGGAUGUACCAUGCGCCACGAAGAUCUAAUAGACACACAAUUAUCUAUGUGGUAUAGGUAUGUAUACAGUAUGGAUAGAAAAUAUAAAAAAAUGACAUCCGUAUUAAAAAUAUAAGAAAUUCUUUAAGAAUUUGUUUGUUGAGACUAGAACUUAAAACCGGAAUAAUCUAUGGUGCUUAUAGUAAUGAGAAUAUACUACAAACUUUUGUUUGCCAUCACACAAUGACAAUAUUAAUGAGGUUGUCACACAAUUGGAGGCAAACAAUCAAAUAACAAAAUAGUCCGAAGCAAUGUAACACUGUUGAACCUUAUGUCUAACAAAGAUAAACAUGCAUGUGUGACAACAAUAACCCAUAUCAACAUAUUAUUAUUGGCUGACAUUUCUAAUUUGUAACAACUUUGUUGUAUGCAAUAUUAAAAGUGCUAGCCCGUGCAUGUGCACGGGUUGAUGACUAGUAUAAUAUAACUCUGAGACAUGCCUAUAUAACCUCUUAUUUGCAUACGUUCUUUUAAAACAUAGCAUAGACAAACCACAUUACAUUAUAAUAAUGAAUUUGUUUUUUCUCGGUGACAGGGUAACUGUUAUUUCUAUGUCGACCAGUUGUACCUUGAAAGAAAGUGUUAUAAAACAAUUAUGUUACUCCCUCCUCCAUCACUGUUUUCAUUGACCAGAGCCCCCACUCCACACAUAUCGACAAGCUCGGAGUCCCGCUCAUCGAUAUGAUCGUAUGCCAUAUCCACACAACUGGCGAGCUCAUUGGAGCGUAGCCCGUCCUCGUCGCCUUGGUAAUCCCUGAUCGUGGCAUCACAUAUGUUGAGGAUGCUCACCAGUCAUAAUCCGCCUCACAAAAACUAAGGACACGCAUUGGCACCGUGCCCUUCUUGCUUCAUGUGUCUGUUGUCUUGGCGCACCCAUUUCGUCCACCGCCAUCCGUUUGUGUCGGCGCGGACAGAAAAGUCGGCCCAACGCGCCGACACAAAUGGACGCGCGUCCGAUUUCGUCCGCCUGCCUAUCCAUUUCCGGCCCAUUUUUUAGCCGGAUUUGCGUCGGCGGAGACAAAAGACGGACGCACGCGCUCACCCUCUCUCCUUUCCGGGCGCGCUGGUCGGUGGCACAUUGGCCUCUCCACAUCAAACAACACACCCUCGCCCGCCUGCUUCAUCGCUGACGCCGCCGGUCAUUUUUUCCGAUAGAAAAAUGAUACAUAGAUAGUUUUAGCAUACACAGAUAAAAAAAAGAUCAACUACUCGUCGCUUUCCGACUUCGACUCGGUAAUGUCCUCCUAUGACGUCUAAAUGUAGGCGUCAGCAUGCUGAUCAUCUUCAAAGUCUCACCCCGGCGUUUCUCGUAGCUUCAGUUUCAAUUGAGCGGCCUGCUUGCGCGCACGCUUGUCCUCCCGAUAGGCGGCUCGCUCCGUCCUCCUCACCUCCUUCUCCGUCCUCCUUUGCGUGUAGAACUGGCGCUCAUUGACGAUGUCCUGCAGAAAGCGUUCGCGCCACACCACCAUGGCUUCCAUGUCCAUCUCGGUGAUGGCGAGGCGACGCUGCCGCCUCCGGUGGACACGACGAUCCUCGUCGGUGAAAUGCCGCGGGAGAGGCGCGAGAUCCUGCGCCGCUGGCUCGACACGUCAGGAAAAUUCAUAUCCCAACGAGGCCUCAGGAGGCACGACGCCGCCGCGUCGUGCGCGCGGGCCGACUCCUCUGCGGUGUUGAAGGUGCCGAGGAUGAGGCGUUUCUCGCCAAACCUGAUCUCUGAGGAGAAGGCACCAGAGCGGCGCUCGCGGACUCCGCGAAAAUUUGAAGCGCCCAGGCGGCGCAUCGACAUGGUGGCGCAGAGGCGGCGAGGCUAGUGAUAGGGGGCGACACAAGUGGGCGGCGGACAGAGUGUGGAGGGAGCGCCUUCUUAUAACGAGCGCCGGCCGCGGCGCGCGCGCGAACCUUUCCCGCGCGCUGGAGCACCGAAACCAGCACGCGCUAGGCCACUUUUCCCCCACGCGUGUGAACCUUUCCCGCGCGCUGGAGCGCCAAAACCAGGGAGACGGCAUGGCAGCUGGCAUGAUCGAAAGCGCGUGCGAUCAUGAAGUGGGUCGGACCGUUGGACGCACUGCCGACCCAAAUCUAAAAGAGGGCGGACGGCGGGCGGGCGGCAGACCCAAACGUACAAAAAGCGGACAACAACGCCGUCCAUCUGGGUCGGCCCGUUGAAGUUGCUCUUAGGGGUGAACCUCUGUCUCCCGUAGGGCCCCAUGUGUUUGACAACACAUGGGGUGGCCUGUUCAGCACGCCAGUGUGAAAAAUCAUGACACAGGCAUGAGGUAAUAGUUAGUGGUCUACUCCCUACGCCUGGGAGUUAUCACAUCAUAGGAGUAGGUAGCUCCAGUAGAUAAGUUUCCCUAUAUUGGAUAAAGAUCAAUGGAACGCCUCGUAGGUGUGAGUAGCGAGUUGCCAAAUAUAUAUGUUAUACGGAAUUAAAUUAUAGGAAUCCUGCUAGCUGAGCAGCUGUGAUUUUCCUUUUGAAAAGUAAGGAAAUGGAAUAGGGAGAAGAUUUUGCAUUUUAGAAUAAAGAAUCUGCUCAAGAUGCUCUAUAAUAUUUCCUGACUUGGGCACAUCAUUGUUUUCUUUUAUUUGAGACGCAGAUUGGAGCACAGCAUUUGCUGGUAAUUAAGCAAAUGCAUGAUGCAUGCCAACAUGACACUUGGGAAAAUAACAAGACUACACUUCCUACAGUAAUACAGAUUCACGCGUAAGGUCAAGUCUAAAAAGAUGUAUCGGGAUCAGCUUCCAUUUCAUAUACUCCAUGGUGGAAUAUGAUGUCACGCUUGUUAUCAAGGUUUUGGAUCGGGAGUGAACAGUGGACUAGACAAACCAGUGUGCCAGGGUGGUCCAAUAGUAGAAAUCUUUACAUAAAUUUAUUUAUUUUCAAAGAAAUAAUUUUUCUACUACACUAUAUACAUGCUGUGGGGAAAAUUCAGGGUGGUCCAUGUCCACCCCCUAGCUAAGCCACUACGAGCGGACCUUUUCUCUAAAGGGGCACCAAAAUUCGAGGUUACUAAGGUAACCACGAAAUACAAAAAAAUCAGACGAAAUUAGAAAUCAUUUUAAGUUGAUAUAGAUAGUUAUUUAUCUUUACCUAAUAAUAAAGUAUAAAGUGCGUCUACCCGUUCACCAUCAUCCAAAUUACCCUCGAAGUUGGCGAGAAUUACCCACUAAUGCCACCUGUAAGUGGCAAAAAUAAUUCGCUUUUUUCCAUGCUGGUUCAAUAUGAAGCUAUCUUCUUAUGUGACACAAGUACAUGCGCAUCCCACCGGCUAGAGGUUCGAUCCCAUGUUCUCCCCAUUCUAUCUCCCUUUUCUCUCUUGUUGUUAGAGGGUUGAUUGCGCCAGCCCAGCACGGCCUUCAACUCUCUUUCUUUCCUUUCUUACAGACAGUUUUUCUUUCUUUCGGCUUUAUUUCGAAAUACUUUAAAUAUUUCUAUGCAUUAAAGAAAUGUUAAACUUCUCUACAAAAAAUAUUUCCACUAUAUAUAAACAAAUGGGUAGUGUGUAUGGAAAGCAAAAUUAGGAAAAUAAUAACGUAAGUUUCUGUUUUUUUGAAAAAAAUUAAGCAUGCAUUUAAAUAAAUUUAAAUGUGUACAAAAAUUGUUUAUGAUGUAUACAAAAAUAUACAAUAUGUUUAGAACAAAGUAGACAUAAAAAAGUAUAUGUCUUCAAAAAUAUUAAUCAUGUAUUUGGACGAUGUUAACCAUGUACAUAAAAAUGAUCAUGAUGUACACAAGAAAUAUAGAAUGCGUAUAGGAAAAUUGGAAAUCAAAAAACUUAUGGUUAAAAAAAGUUGAAAACUAAAUUGGAAAAAUGUUAUACUUGUAUAUCUAAAUGUUUGUCAUGUAUACAAAAAAAAUACUGUGUUCAUGGAGAAUAUAGAGAUAAACAAAAUAUUUUACCAAAUGUUAAUUAAUUAUUUAAAAAUGUAAUAAUUUAUUUUUAAAUUUCUAAAUGUGAUAUAAAAUGUUUCUGGUAUAUAAAAAAAAUUUAUAGUGUAUAUGAGCAAACGUAGACAUAAAAAAUAUAAGUUCUCAAAAAUAUUAAUUAUAUAUUUAGAAAAUGUUAAACAUGUAUAUAAAAAUUAUUCUUGGCGUAUAAAAAAUGUAGAAAGAAAACGAACAAAAACUAUAAAAUUGAAAAAGAAACAAAAAAAGCAAAGAAAGCAAAAAAAUAGCAAAACCCGUAAAACCAAAAGAAUAUACCAAAAAAUAAGAAAGAAAAAACAAGAAUGAUAAAAACGUGCUAUCAUUAAUUACUAACAUGUACUUUGUUAUCUUCAUCACACUACAAAUAUUUGUUGGGCAUCAUCAAGGACGAACGACAACAAAUGCGUAAUGAGAUACCUCCAACUAGGUAGAUAUUUUUGUUGUCUAAUAAGUUAAAAACAUCUUGAGUACACUUCAAAAAUCAUCCCAUUUUUAUAUUUUUACACAACACCACUUAUCAUGUUAUUUGUCAUGUGACAUCGUGAAAGAUUUCAAGGGAUUUACUAAUGUCUUGAGAGUGUGUAUGAGGGGUGACUUUUUCUCCCCCGUUGAAAGAACACAAAGCCUGCCCUUCUUCGGAAAACACACACACACACACAUACACACACAAAGCAAGCCCUACCGUAUUGGCUGUUCACCCUUAGCUGCCGCUUGGUCAAACGUCGCGAGUUUGACGUUCUUACCUUUUGCAUCCUCUAAAAGAAGUAAAAAUGAAAGCGAUGAGACUCGAACCCGAGACUUGCUGCUGCGGAAAGCUUGGCUUUGCCACCUAGGCCAUGACCUGUCAUGAUGUUCAAUAAGAGAUGCCACGUAUUUAACUAUGAGGUGGGCGUUUGAAUUCAAAAGUUUCAAAANNNNNNNNNNNNNNNNNNNNNNNNNNNNNNNNNNNNNNNNNNNNNNNNNNNNNNNNNNNNNNNNNNNNNNNNNNNNNNNNNNNNNNNNNNNNNNNNNNNNNNNNNNNNNNNNNNNNNNNNNNNNNNNNNNNNNNNNNNNNNNNNNNNNNNNNNNNNNNAAGAACAUUAUUAUUAUUAUUUCAAAUGGAAGUAAUGUUGGUUUUACAUGAACAUUGUUUCUGGCAGAAAAUCUUAUAUUUACUAAUUGGAGGCACCUUUCAUGAUCUCUCAUUAAUCCACAUCAUCAAAAUUAAUUAAACUGUUGGAUUGUAAAAUUUAUGACCAGGAUUAAAAAAACAACUUGUGUAACGCAGAUGAUGCUGUCCUAUAAAAAGUGCACCUGACACGUACAACUUUUGUUAAACAAACAAAGAAAAGACUCACAUAAAAAAACGGAAGCCACAAGUAAAAAAGGGAAAGGCCCCACCAGUUCCCACAAAUUAAGUAGAAAAACAGCCUCAUGCAAGAAAAAGAGGAAAGUCCCUACCGUAUCCCACAAAUUAAGAAGCAAAAUUUUCCAUAAAAAAACCUAAUGAUAAGAUGCCAAAACAAAAUCCCAACGUUAAAGGAAAAAAAUCGACUAUCGGGCAGAUUGCCCGUGAAAUAAAAGAAAGCAAACUCGCGUAACAAAACUUAAACCUCCACCCAUCUGAACAAAUAAAAACACUAUGUACCAAACAGAUCAAGCCAAAAUGUACAAAAAAAAUAGAAGUCACGUAAAGAAAAAGGGAAAGUCCUUAGCAUCCGCGUUACUUCUCAUAAAAAAAUAGGGUUCUCACCACGUACAUAUAAUUGAAGAUUAAGCACACGCCUUCCAAAAAAAAUAGUCCUUAGCAUACACGUUACUUCCCAGAAGAAAAACAAGCUACAAAAACAGUUUUCACCACAUACAUGAAAUAAAAUCUUACAAAGAAACAUACGGCUUGAUCUUUGGUGUGGGACAUGACAAAAAAAGACACAACCUCAAAAAAUGACUUCGCAUUACGUAUGUGAAAUAAAACCUUGCAGAAAAAAAUACAUACAUGAAAUAAAAGAUUAAACAUACAUGACCAAAUAAAAACAAGGAAAGCCUCACGUCAAUCGAAAAAGCAAAGGAAAAACUCCACCCGCUGCACAAAUUAAGAAGGAAUGUCUCUGUUAAAAACUCCAAGAUAAAAUGUAAAAAAAGUCCAAUGAUAAAAAUGGAAAAAUUCCGCGAUCCAGCUGAUUGACCGUGAAAUAAAAACUAGACCCAAUGGCUCCAUCAAUAAAAUAUUCUCCCGACAAAAAUCUGUGUGGACUCAUCUGUACGGCCGAUGCCUCCUCCUCUGCUUCAAUCCUGCUGUCCUACCAAUGGCCGCCGAUCACGAUUAUUUGUCACUGAAUGUGCUUUCCCACCUGCAUGGCCAUCGGUGAACCACAAAGUGUCACAAGGGCGGCCUAAUUUAUUUUUCUAUAUGCUACAACAAAAAUACCUCUCAUGUUUAGUUGGACAGUAUAUUUUUUAAAGGGAUAUUGAAGCUGAAGUUUGUCAACCACGGAUGUGGAGCUGGUCGAGACUGGUGGCUAGAUGACAAAGGCUCCGCUCGGCAAGGAAAGAUUUGCAUUGAGCUAAGACUCAUGACUAAUUGAUAUAAUCUAAGAGAUGAUGAACCAAGAAAAUUAUAUUAGAAAUAAGUUGGAUGUUAUUUGCAUUAUUCUAUUUUGAGGAGUAAAAUUAUUUUUUUGGGAAUUAGACAAUCAAACUAUUGUUAUGAUUUCUUGAACUGGCCACAUAGGCCACAUAAAUUAUGAAAUUACUUUUCAUUGACGGAAUUUCGUUUGUGAAGAUAGCAUAGGGGCAACCGAUCAAUGUCCCCGGUAAUGAGUACUCAAUCACAUCAUGUUUGGUAGUACUACUGUAUGGGUGUUCUACAUAAAAGCAAAUGUAAGUAGACAACAUUAUAAUUAUUAAUUUUGUCCAUUAUAUUGCAAAGUAAAGGAUAUCCGUGUGGUCAAAAAAAAUUAGAUCAAUAUUGCACCACUAUAUGUCUUUUUGUCAAAUUUAAAUCCUGUUCAAGUUUAUACUGCUUUUCUUACUACUCCUAAUAAAUGAUCAGAACAAGGAAGCUUGCAGUUCUGUAGGGGAAGACCGAUCCUUGACGAGCAUUUCUAGCGUGACACAGAUAAAUAACAUUGGAUGGAGCGGCUCGACGACCUCCUCAUGUACGCUGCCGGACGCUGGCUGCAUCCGAUGACGCCGGGAGCAAGGUAGUGGUGUCGUGUAAGUUCAUUUUAGAUGCUAAGGACUAUUAUGCACAACUUAGUACUAUUCUCUUGAAAGAUAAACUACUUUGUCUGACAUGCAUACUUGCGAUUAUGUAGACUUAACAUGUUUUUACACAGGUGCAGAUUACGAACGCUAAUUAUUUGCACAUAUAGUACGGUUGCACAUCUCUUUUUUUUGUCCUGAUAAGUUAUAAAAAAUAUAACUAUUAAAGUAUCUUUAAUACACAUAAAUUUUUUUAGUAAAAAAUAAUGUGGAUGUUUCCUGCACGACAAAGAUCUCAUAUAAACAAAUGAUUAUGUAUGUGAUAUACAUAUGUGUAGCAAGGAUAGAAAGUACAAUAAACUUUCAAGCACAUUAAUCUGAAAAGAAAUCCUCUUAUGAUUUUCUUUGCACAAAUAUGAUAGUGAAAUACGAUUAAUCUAUCACACAACUCCAAUUCAAUCGUGAAAGAUUUUCUUUAAGAAUUUAUUGGUUAAUACAAGAAUAUAAAAUACAAAUAACCUAUGGUGCUUAGCGUAAUCAAGAAUUGCAGAAAUCAAACUUUUAUAUAUUAUUUGCUACAGUGUUACAUACUACUUCUCCAAAUAAUUCUUUUUAGUCUGCAUAUAAGAUUUGCCUGAAGUCAAACUUCAUAAAGUUUGAGCAUAUUUAUAUUGAAAAAUAUUAACAUGUACAAUACUAAAGUCACAGAGUAUAAAAAUUAAGAUUCAUGCCGCAUUUAAUGAUAUUGAUUACACAUUGAGAAUAUUGAUAUUUUUUCUGUAAGUUGGUCAAACUUUACGUUGUUUUACUUCAAAUAAAUCUUCUAUACAGAGUAAAAUAUCUGGCGGGAGUAUUUAAUAUUAGAAGUGCUAGCCCGUGCUGAUGCACGGGUUGAUGACUAGUAGAUUAUUAACUAUCAAAGUCAUAUGGCCCUAGCAAGACAUUGUUCAGGCCGCCCAGCUUGAUCAACUCCUCGUUAUCGUUGAUAACUGUCUGGCUUUUCAUGGGAAGCUCAUGCCGGCAGUUGCUGACAUGGUCAGUCGCCUUCUCCACACACUCGGGCAGUUCAAAGAACCACGGGCCGUCGGCGUCGCCCAUGGGGACACGGAAGUCCCUGAGCAUGGCGUCGCAGAGGCCGAGGGUACCGAUAGCAGCAUCGUAAUCCACCUGGCAAUACCUGAGGCCGAGCGCCUCCUCCGUACCUUUCUUGGCUUUCUGGAGUGCUUCCUUCACCUUGCCGCCGGCAGCCGCCAUGUGGAUCUUGAGGAUGUCAACGGCGACGAGCGACAGGUCGCGGAGGUCCUUGGACUCAGAGCUCCUUUUGUCGGACCGGAGAGUCUGCACGCAGAAUUCCUGGGUGACGUUCAGGUGCUUGUUGCGGCAGCUGCUCGAAGCGUUCUUGCAGGUUUCUACCACGAGGUCUACCACCUUGACCUUGUCGUUGCGCCGCCGGCAUGUGCGCCGAUGCACACAAAAAGGAGCAUGAUUGCAACCAAGAAGGCAGCGGUCGCCCGUGUGGUUGCCAUUGCUGCAAGGAUAGCUGCAAUUGUAUUGUAGGCUUUGUAGCUGAGAGAGAGGUGAAGAUGAAUUGAUAGUCAGAUUUUGUAGUGCAAAGAUGGAGGUGGUGUACGGUUCUUGUGACAUCUAUAUAGUGCAGCAGCAGGUUCAUAAAUCCAAUGCAGCUUAGUCACGGAUAUCCAAAUAAUUAGUAUUUCAGACACUAUAUGCGCAGAUAUGUGUUGGAAAAAUGAGCAAAUUACUACGAGAUUUAAUCCGAAUAAAUAGGAAAUAGAUCAUGACAGCAAUAGCAGAUAUUAAACUAAUCAUGCGAACUAGCAUACUAGAUGAACAGAUCACAUCUAGGACACAUACUAGAAACAUGAGUUCUACGGUGCAGCACCGCCGGCGUUGACGUUGUCGCCCAUGUCGUCGAGGAUGAGGUUGCCGAGGUCGGGGAAGAAGUCGUCGUUCGCGAAGUCGUCGCUGCCAGCAGUCGCGCGAGUGCGCUCCCCAAAAACCUGAUCGCCCCUCUCCCAUACAGGAUCACGAGAGGCAGGGUUCUAGAGGCCUGCUGUCCCUUCUCCCGGUGCACGCCGAAAGGAGGGAUGGAGAAGACUUGCUUGGCGGCGCAAUGAUCUGGAACGGUGGUCAGAAACCAUACGAAGCGGCGGCGGCUAGGAUAGACGUCUGCCUGACUAUAUAGUGCGGGCCGGGUAGGUCCUGGGAGUAAACCCCACGUCCGAGUCAUCACGAUCCAAAAGAAUCGGAAAUGGUUCAGUAAUUAAUGAGUCCAUUAAUUAUUAAUUAAUGACUCAUUAAUUUUUCCCGAGCAGCAAAAAUAUAGACAGCGUGCAUAGCUCUGUCCUCGGCUUGGCUCAAUCCCGCGGCGCGGCGGGGCGGGGCGAGGCGAGCGAGGAGGAGGAGCGCGCGUGUAGGUCUCCUCUUCUCAUGCUCAUACAAGUGGUAGAAAAGCUCACCUUAUAAAGAGGUGCAACUCUCUCUCAACUUUCGGGGUGGGACUAAACUUUAGUCUCACCCACUCCACUCACAUGUGUGCAUGAAUGGGCCAAGAGAAUUUCAGAAUUUUAGUUGGGCUUUGGGCCAAGGCCUACUAGCAAAAUUCCAACAAUCCCCCACAAAGUCUCAUUGGCACAUCUCAUCAUUUAGUUCCAAAACAUUGUUUAUAUACCGGUGCUUAGUGGAGACUGUGAAGUUGAACUUCCACUUAAAGAUUUAUGCUACACUAGAUCACAACUUGAAUAGUGGACUAUGCCUUGAACUACAAGUUUUCUGCGAAACUAGUUUCACACAAAUUCUUGACCGAUACUGGGCUGCCGCAAGGCUUCCCCGCGGGUGGAGCGUAUACGCCAUACUCCAGGGCAUUUUCAUGAAUUUAUUAGAGAACACCCAAUUCUCACAGACUGCGACGUUAACAGUCAAAUUCAUAUAGGUGUGUUCCUCAGAAGAUGUUCUGCAGGACAACAUCUCUGCUUACCCGAAUAAGCCACUUGGAACACAUUAAGAUAAGUAUCAACCUGCCAUGCAGAUCAGGAGAGUAUUGCAUCUUCACGGAGUGGGAUAGUUAAUAUAGGGAUACUCUCCUCCCAGCUGACCAACAGCUUGUCUCCCACUUCUACUUCACGGGAUCUCCGAUCACAUAGAGUGGGUUACCACUAUGGACAACUCAUGCGGUGGGUCUCAAACCCAUCUCCAUCGAUGCAUUAUCUAUCACAUUAUGUGAUAGACCCUUUGUGAAGGGAUCUGCCAUGUUUUUCGAUGUUUGGAUAUAAUCCAACGUAAUAACUCCGGAGUUCCUCAAUUUUCUGACAGAUUUUAGUCUCCUCUUCACAUGUCUUGAGGACUUCAUAUUGUCCUUCGAACUGUUUAUCUUGACAAUCACAGUUUGAUUAUCACAGUUCAUCAGGAUAGGGGGUAUUGGUUUUUCAACCAUAGGUAAGUCCAUCAAGAGUUCACGAAGCCACUCUGCUUCAACAGUGGCAGUGUCUAAUGCUGUGAGUUCUGCUUCCAUAGUUGACCUCAUUAAGAUGGUCUGCUUGCAAGACUUCCAGGAAAUAGCGCCACCACCAAGUGUAAAAACAUAACCACUCGUGGGCUUUAUCUCAUCAGAAUCAGAUAUCCAGUUUAAGUCACUAUAACCCUGCAGUACCCUUGGAUACCCGGUGUAGUGAAUCCCAUAGCUCGCGUAGCCUUUCAAAUAGCGAAUAACUCUCUCAAGAGCAUGCCAAUGAUCAUCUCCCGGUUUUGACACAAACCGACUCAGCUUGCUCACAGCAAAAGAGAUGUCAGGCCUCGUGGCACUCGCCAAAUACAUAAGCGAGCCAAUAAUCUAAGAAUACCUCAGUUGAUCUCUAGCAAUCCGUUGAUUCUUUCGAAGCAACACACUAGCAUCAUAUGGAGUUGGAGAAGGUGUGCAGUCGCUAUACCCAAAACGACUCAAGACCUUUUCCACAUAGUGAGACUGAAGCAGUGUGAUCCCACCAUUCUCAUCUCUCAACAGCUUGAUGUUUAAGAUAACAUCAGCUACUCCUAGAUCCUUCAUCUCAAAACAGCGAGAUAAGAAAUCCUUAACCUCCUUGAUUAAAUCAAGUUUGGUUCCAAAGAUCAAUAUGUCGUCGACAUAUAGACAAAGAAUAACUCCUUCACCCCCACCAUAGCAAUAGUACACGCACUUGUCACCAUCAUUUACUACAAAGCCGGCAGCAGUUAAUGUCCUUUCGAACUUCUCAUGCCACUCCUUAGGAGCUUGUUUAAGGCCAUAUAAAGACUUUAAUAACUUGCACACCUUUCCUUCCUGACCAGGUACUACAAAACCAUCUGGCUGAUCCAUGUAAAUUUCCUCCUUCAACUCUCCAUUGAGGAAAGCCGUCUUGACGUCCAUUUGAUGAACGAGAAGACCAUGUGAGGCAGCCAGUGAUAGUAGCACCUGAAUUGUGGUCAGUCUAGCCACAGGUGAGUAAGUAUCAAAGAAGUAUUCACCUUCUUUCUGGGUAUAACCCUUAGCCACAAGCCGUGCCUUGUUCUUUUCAAUCGUACCAUCAGGUCUAAGAUUCUUCUUGAACACCCACUUACAUCCUAAAGGUUUGCACCCAUAAGGACGACCAGUGAUCUCCCAGGUUCCGUCAGCUAAGAUGGAAUCCAUCUCGCUACGUACAGCUUCCUUCCAGUAGUCAGCAUCAGGAGAUGCUUAGGCUUCUCUAAUAGUCCUGGGUGUGUCAUCCACGAGGUACACAAUGAAAUCAUCACCAAAGGACUUUGUAGUCCUCUGUCUCUUACUCCUCACAGGAGUUCCAUUGUCACCCUCAACAGGAUUCUCAACGUGUUCCAUCGCAAUGGUGGGUUCAGGAAUUACAGUGAAUUCCUCACUAGAUGGAGUAGGUAUCUCCUGAUUUGAUGAACUCGACAUGUCCUUCAUAGGAAAUAUGUCCUCAAAGAAAGUUGCAUCAUUCGACUCCAUAAUCGUACCAACAUGCAUGUUGGAUACCUCAAAUUUUAUUAUCAAAAAUCUAUAGCCGAUGCUAUGAAAAGCAUAGCCCAGAAGAACACAAUCCACGGUUUUUGGUCCAAGCUUGCGCUUCUUGGGAAUUGGUAUAUUGACUUUCUCCAAACAACCCCAAGUACGUAGGUAAGAGAGUUUCAACCUUUUCCUUUCCCAUUCCUCAAAUGGAGUCAUGGUCUUAUGCUUUGUGGGAACUCGGUUUACGAUAUGACAUGCAGUCAUUAGCGCCUCCCCCCACCAUUCCUUGGAUAGACCCGAAGUGUCUAACAUGGUGUUAACCAUAUCAGUUAGAGUUCGGUUCUUUCUUUUGGCUACCCCAUUUGACUGGGGUGAGUAGGGAGGCGUCCUCUCAUGGAUUAUACCAUGUUCCGCACAAAACAGAUCAAAUUCAUUGGAAAAAUACUCUCCACCACGAUCAGACCUAAGCCGUUUAAUUUUUCGAUCAAGUUGGUUCUCUGCCUCAGCUUUAUAGUUUUUGAAGAAAGUAAAAGCCUCAUAUUUUGAUUUCAGAAGAUACACAUAACAAUAUCUAGUGGAGUCAUCAAUCAACAUCAUGAAGUAUCUUUUUCCACCUUUUGUCAACACGACAUUCAUCUCACAAAGAUCAGAAUGUAUAAGCUCUAGUGGUGCCAAGUCUCUUGCCUCUGUAGUCUUAUGGGACUUGCGAGGUUGCUUAGCUUGCACACAUACUUGGCACUUAGAGCCUUUGACAGUAGAGAUUUUCAGAAUUAAAUUCAUAUUGGCUAGCCAUGUCAUGCAACCAAAGUUAAUGUGACAAAGUCGUGAAUGCCAAAUAUCUGACUCAUUGUUGUGGCAAACAUUAUUAAUAACUUUAGUGCAAAUAUCUGACAAAGACAGGCGGAACAAGCCUCCGCUCUCAUAGCCUUUUCCAACAAAUUGUCCAUACUUAGAAAUUACAACAUUAUUGGAUUCGAAAACCAACUUAAAACCAUCUCAACAUCAAUGGGAACCGCUAACGAGAUUUUUAUUGAUGGACGGCACAUGAUGAACGUUCUUCAGACGCACGGUCUUCCCCGAAGUAAACUUCAGAUCGACCGUACCAACACCUCGAACGAUGGCAUGUGACCCGUUCCCCAUCAGCAUGGGAGAAGUCCCAGUGGCCUGGUAAGAAGAAAACUUGGAGGCGUCAGCACAAACAUGUACAUUGGCACCGGUGUCAAUUAACCAAUCAGGGGAUUGAAAUACUGAAAGGAUGGUAGGAAAAAUACCGUAUCCUGAUUCCUUCAUAUCAGUAUCACCGAUAACAACAUUAGCGGACUUGCCGCUCUUGUCAUGUUCGCGCUCCUCAAAACGGUUAGGACACUUCGGAGCCCAGUGAUUAGGAUCACCGCAAACAUGGCAAAGUCCCUUCCCCUUCUUAUGAGAAUUCUUCUUGAAGUUGGUAGAAUGUGAUGGCUUGUUCUUUGUAUCAAACUUACCUUUGCCCUGAGUUUUGUUCUUGUUGUUUUUGAACUUUUUGGGAUGGAAGUUCUUCUUCUGUACCAUUUGGGCACUAGAACCUCCCUCAGCAACUCGAGCACGUGUGUCCUUUGCUCUCGCCUUCUCUUCAACAUCAAGAGUACCAAUGAGAUCCGCAACGGAAAACUCCUGUCUCUUGUGUUUCAGGGAAGUAGAAAAAUUAUUCCACGAAGGUGGAAGCUUGGCAAUGAUGCCUCCGGCAACACACACUUGAAGUAAUCAAGUUCUUUUGCGAGUGACUGUAUCUCAUUAGCCUGCUGUACAACAAGGCGCUCAUCAGUCAUCUUGUAGUCAUAGAAUUGCUCCAUGACGUACAACUCGCCGCCGGCGUCCGAGGCACCAAACUUGGCCUCGAGCGCAGCCCACAUGUCCUUGCCAUUGUAAAAUGAGAUAUACGAAUCGAUCUUCUCAAAAGCUUCCAGCUGUGCUGGAUUAAGAUCGCCCUCAGGCUUGCCCUUGGUGGCGUCAUAGCAGCCCAUGGUCUGAAACAAGUAGACUGCUAUCGUGCGCCACCUCUUAUAUUGCGCCCCUUUAAUGGCAGGCAGCUUCAAAUGCGCAGCAAAAUACGAGAUUUAAUCCGAAUAAAUAGGAAAUAGAUCAUGACAUCAAUAGCAGAGAUUAAACUAACCCCGGGUAGGUCAUGGGACAACGUGCAUAGCUCUGUCCUCGGCUCAAUCCUGCAACCCGCGGCGCGGCACUCGUGUAGGUCUCCUCUUCUCAUGGUCAUACAAGUGGUAGAAUAGCUCACCUUAUAAAGAGGUGCAACUCUCUCUCAACUUCCGGGGUGGGACUAAACUUUAGUCUCACUCACUCCACUCACAUGUGUGCAUGAAUGGGCCAAGAGAAUUUCAGAAUUUUAGUUGGGCUUUGGGCCAAAGGCCUACUAGCAAAAUUCCAACAAUAUGUAGAUCCACAUUUUGGGUGUGCUAGUAUUAAUACGUGUGGCAUGAGUGUGUUCUUGUUUUAUGUAUUUCUAGAGUGAAUCUCACGUUAUUUCCCCAUAUCAUAAAAUGGAUUUGGGACAUUAAAGGAAGAUUAUGCGCAUUUUGCACUUGAUAAUCUAUCUAUCUUCUACGUUUAUAUAUCUAUCUAUAUCUAUCUCUAUAUUCAUCCCUAUAUCUAUACCUAUCUAUAUGUAUACUAUAUAUGUAUAUUUAUAUCUACACCUAUCUAUCUAUCUAUCUAUCUAUCUUUAUAUCUAUAUCUCUAUCUAUCUAUACCUAUACUUCUACUCCCUCCGUCCCAAAAUAAGUAUCUCAAGCUUAGUACAAGUUCGUACUAAAGUUAAUACAAAGUUGAGACACUUAUUUUGAGACGGAGAAAGUACUAAUUAGGCACUCCCUAGAAAUUACCAUGUUAAUCGGUAAAAUUCAAGAUAAUUGGAAACCCAUGCCCCUUCGUAAAUACAUGUAAUUGCUUACACCAUUUAGGAUAUGCUUGCAUGAUGGAUAUAUACGAUACACAUGCAUCAUUAUUAACCCGGAACACCUUUAAGAUUACAUUAAAAAUGGCAUCCAGGAGACACUAUAUUAAAUAAUACUGCCCAUGAUUAAAUAGGAGGAAAUCCAAUUCUCCAUCGAGGUAUAUGUGCAAAGAGUUAAACAUUGAUCAUUUGGAUAUUCAUGGGGCAUAUUGCAUUUGGAAACCCCUACUCAGUGCACUAUAUAGUAUAUAUAAGCCAUAAUCAUAGCUACGUACUCCACCUCAACCCAUCCAUCUCUGCACUGCAGUUCCAUUUGAUCCAUUCAUCGUCUCCCUCAGCUACAAUAUAAUUUUCUAGCAAGCCUGGCAGCAAUGGAAAUGGUGCAAACCACCUCCUUAGCAUUCACUGGAAUUGUCAUCAUUCUCCUUUCCAUGGCCAUCACCAUUCAAGCUUCCGACACCAAGCCCAUGCCGUCAGGCAUCACGUUGGAAGCAUGCAAGAAUGUCUCGAGUGACUUCUUCAAGGUGCGCUCCACAUAUGACUUUUGUGUAUCAACGCUCCAGUCAGACAAACGAAGCAUCAACGCGAAGGACUGCCGCAUCCUAGCUCUUGUGGACGUCGACGCCAUGAAGCCCCAAGCCACGGCCGUGAUGGCCAAGGUUGAGAACUUGAUCCAUGGUGCCACCAAGGACAAGCUCGCGACUCGCGCCCUUGGGUUCUGCCAAGUGGACUACGGUGGCAUGGUGAGCACCCUCGAAAUCUGCCAUGAUAUCAUCCAGAACUUUGAGGUUCGUAAAGGCAAUGAAGGUCCGACGCCCUACGACCUGCCUGAUUGCAUUGCGAAAACAACCAAAGCCAUCAACGAUUGCUCUGACAAAACAAAGUUUACGUCGGUUACAAAAGGGCUAACAAAGGAAUAUGAGGAGUUAUCUAUGAUGAUCAGCCUCAGCAGCUCUUUGCCACAUCUCUACAUCACAUCACCCUGAUUUUUCUGGAAAAAUAUGAUUUUAUAGCGUCGGUUUUAGGGUCUGCGAGGCCACCAGGUGGGGACAACCCACCUAGGCGCGCUUGGAGGGGGCACGCCAUGGUGGGUUGUGCCCACCCAGGUGCCCCCCUUCCGGUGGUUCAUGGCUCCAGAAAUUCUCUUUAUUGAUAUGAAAAAUCCUUGCAAAGUUUCGUUCCAUUCUUAAAACUUUUAUUUCUGCACAAAAACAACACCAUGGUAGUUCUGCUGAAAACAGCAUCAGUCCGGGGUUAGUUUCAUUCAAGUCAUGCAAAUUAGAGUCCAAAACAAGAGGAAAAGCAUUGGGAAAAGUAGAUGUGUUGGAGACCUAACGGUGGCGGCGGGAAACAAAUGAGGAAAGGGUGGCGUGUUCAUAAAACGCCACCAAUCAAUGGAAACUUAGCAUAGAAGGAACAUUGAGCUAGCACAACGUGUGUGUGCACAUUGCUCACCCAAGGCUAUGAUCCAUAUACUUGUGUGCCCAACAGAGCACACUAUUCAUAGUAAAGAAUAUUGUUAUGUUUAUCCUAGUAGAGCAGUGGCAGCAAGCGACACAAGAAGAAGUAGAUGAUGAUCAGAUGAUGGUUUAUCCUAAUUAAUUAUGCAUGUAAUAGUUUACUUUGGCGUGUGGAAAUGUCAUGUGUACUAGGAAACUAUGUAAUUGGAUGUUUAAUUUGACUGUGGAAUCAUGUCCUUAUAUCAUGAUAAAUCUUUAUUAUUCAUGCUAGAAUUGUAUUAACUGAAAACAUAAUACAUGUGUGAAUACAUAGACAAACAAAGUGUCACUAGUAUGCCUCUACUUGACUAGCUGGUUGAUCAAAGAUGGUUAUGUUUCCUAGCCAUAGACAUGAGUUGUCAUUUGAUUAACGGGAUCACAUCAUUAGGAGAAUGAUGUGAUUGACAUGACCCAUUCCGUUAGCUUAGCACCGGAUCAUUUAGUAUGUUGCUAUUGCUUUCUUCAUGACUUAUAAUGUUCCUAUGACUAUGAGAUUAUGCAACUCCUCUUUACCGGAGUAACACUUUGUGUGCUACCAAACGUCACAACGUAACUGGGUGAUUAUAAAGGAGCUCUACAGGUGUCUCCAAAGGUACAUGUUGGGUUGACGUAUUUCGAGAUUAGGAUUUGUCACUCCGAUUGUCGGAGAGGUAUCUCUGGGCCCUCUCGGUAAUGCACAUCACUUAAGCCUUGCAAGCAUUGCAACUAAUGAGUUAGUUGCGGGAUGAUGUAUUAUGGGACGAGUAAAGAGACUUGCCGGUAACGAGAUUGAACUAGGUAUUGAGAUACUGACGAUCGAAUCUCGGGCAAGUAACAUGCCGAUGACAAAGGGAACAACGUAUGUUGUUAUGCGGUCUGACCGAUAAAGAUCUUCGUAGAAUAUGUAGGAGCCAAUAUGAGCAUCCAGGUUCCUCUAUUGGUUAUUGACCGGAGACGUGUCUCGGUCAUGUCUACAUAGUUGUCGAACCCGUAGGGUCCGCACGCUUAACGUUUCGAUGAUAGUUAUAUUAUGAGUUUAUAUGUUUUGAUGUACCGAAGGUUGUUCGGAGUCCCGGAUGUGAUCACGGACAUGAAGAGGAGUCUCGAAAUGGUCGAGACAUGAAGAUUGAUAUAUUGGAAGCCUAUGUUUGGAUAUCAGAAGUGUUCCGAGUGAAAUCGGGAUUUUACCGGAGUACCGGGAGGUUAGCGGAACCCCCAGUAACUUAAUGGGCCUUAGUGGUCCUAGGUGGAAGAGAGGAGAGGAGGCAAGGGCUGGCCGCGCGCCCCUCCCCCCUAGUCCGAAUAGGACAAGGAGAGGGGGGUGGCGCCCCCCCCCCUUCUUUCUCCUCCACUCCUUCCCCCUCCCAAGUCCUAAUCCAACUAGGAAAGGGGGGAGUCCUACUCCCGGUGGGAGUAGGACUCCUCCGGCGCGCCUCCUCCUAUGGCCGGCUGCACCCCCCCCCCUUGCUCCUUUAUAUACGGGGGCAGGGGGGCAUCCCAUAGAUACAACAAUUGAUCAUUUGAUCUUUUAGCCGUGUGUGGUGCCCCCCUCCACCAUAGUCCACCUCGAUAAUACUGUAGCGGUGCUUAGGCGAAGCCCUGCAUUGGUAGAACAUCAUCAUCUUCACCACGCCGUCGUGCUGACGAAACUCUCCCUCAACACUCGGCUGGAUCGGCGUUCGAGGGACGUCAUCGGGCUAAACGUGUGCUGAACUCGGAGGUGCCGUGCGUUUGGUACUUGAUCAGACAGAUCGUGAAGACGUACGACUACAUCAACCGCGUUGUGCUAAGGCUUGCGCUUUCGGUCUACGAGGGUACGUGGCCAACACUCUCCCCUCUCGUUGCUAUGCAUCACCAUGAUCUUGCGUGUGCAUAGGAAUUUUUUUGAAAUUACUACGUUCCCCAACAAUGGCAUCCGAGCCUGAUUUUAUGCGUAGAUGUCAUAUGCACGUGUAGAACACAAGUGAGUUGUGGGCGAUAUAAGCCAUACUGCUUACCAGCAUGUCAUACUUUGGUUCGGCGGUAUUGUUGGAUGAAGCGGCCCGGACCGACAUUACGCGUACGCUUACGCGAGACUGGUUCUACCGACGUGCUUUGCACAGAGGUGGCUGGCGGGUGUCAGUCUCUCCAACUUUAGUUGAACCGAGUGUGGCUACGCCCGGUCCUUGCGAAGGUUAAAACAGCACCAACUUGACAAACUAUCAUUGUGGUUUUUGAUGCGUAGGUAAGAAUGGUUCUUGCUAAGACCGUAGCAGCCAUGUAAAACUUGCAACAACAAAGUAGAGGAUGUCUAACUUGUUUUUGCAGGGCAUGUUGUGAUGUGAUAUGGUCAAGACAUGAUGCUAAAUUUUGUUGUAUGAGAUGAUCAUGUUUUUAACCGAGUUAUCGGCAACUGGCAGGAGCCAUAUGGUUGUCGCUUUAUUGUAUGCAAUGCAAUCGACCUGUAAUGCUUUACUUUAUCACUAAGCGGUAGCGAUAGUCGAAGAAGCAUAAGAUUGGCGAGACGACAACGAUGCUACGAUGGAGAUCAAGGUGUCGCGCCGGUGACGACGGUGAUCACGGAGGUGCUUCGGAGAUGGAGAUCACAAGCACAAGAUGAUGAUGGCCAUAUCAUAUCACUUAUAUUGAUUGCAUGUGAUGUUUAUCUUUUAUGCAUCUUAUCUUGCUUUGAUUGACGAUAGCAUUAUAAGAUGAUCCCUCACUAAAUUAUCAAAGUAUAAGUGUUCUCCCUGAGUAUGCACUGUUGCGAAAAUUCUUCGUGCUGAGACACCACGUGAUGAUCAGGUGUGAUAGGCUCUACGUUCAAAUACAAUGGGUGCAAAACAGUUGCACACGCGGAAUACUUAGGUUAAACUUGACGAGCCUAGCAUAUAACAGAUAUGGCCUCAGAACACGGAGACCGAAAGGUCGAGCGUGAAUCAUAUAGUAGAUAUGAUCAGCAUAGUGAUGUUCACCAUUGAAACUACUCCAUCUCACGUGAUGAUCGGACAUGGUUUAGUUGAUUUGGAUCACGUGAUCACUUAGAGGAUUAGAGGGAUGUCUAUCUAAGUGGGAGUUCUUAAGUAAUAUGAUUAAUUGAACUUAAAUUUAUCGUGAACUUAGUACCUGAUAGUAUCUUGCUUGUUUAUGUUGAUUGUAGAUAGAUGGCCCGUGCUGUUGUUCCGUUGAAUUUUAAUGUGUUCCUUGAGAAAGCAAAGUUGAAAGAUGAUGGUAGCAAUUACACGGACUGGGUCCGUAACUUGAGGAUUAUCCUCACUGCUGCACAGAAGAAUUACGUCCUGGAAGUACCGCUGGGUGCCAGGCCUGCUGCAGGAGCAACACCAGAUGCUAUGAACAUCUGGCAGAGCAAAGCUGAUGACUACUCGAUAGUUCAGUGUGCCAUGCUUUACGGCUUAGAACCGGGACUUCAACGGCGUUUUGAACGUCAUGGAGCAUAUGAGAUGUUCCAGGAGUUGAAGUUAAUAUUUCAAGCAAAUGCCCGGAUUGAGAGAUAUGAAGUCUCCAAUAAGUUCUAUAGCUGCAAGAUGGAGGAGAACAGUUCUGUCAGUGAGCAUAUACUCAAAAUGUCUGGGUAUAAUAAUCACUUGAUUCAAUUGGGAGUUAAUCUUCCAGAUGAUUGCGUCAUUGACAGAAUUCUCCAAUCACUGCCACCAAGCUACAAGAGCUUCGUGAUGAACUAUAAUAUGCAAGGGAUGAAUAAGACUAUUCCCGAGCUCUUCGCAAUGCUGAAAGCUGCGGAAGUAGAAAUCAAGAAGGAGCAUCAAGUGUGUAUGGUCAACAAGACCACCAGUUUCAAGAAAAAGGGCAAAGGGAAGAAGAAGGGGAACUUCAAGAAGAACAGCAAACAAGUUGCUGCUCAAGAGAGGAAACCCAAGUCUGGACCUAAGCCUGAAACUGAGUGUUUCUACUGCAAGCAAACUGGUCACUGGAAGCGGAACUGCCCCAAGUAUUUGGCGGAUAAGAAGGAUGGCAAGGUGAACAAAGGUAUAUGUGAUAUACAUGUUAUUGAUGUGUACCUUACUAAUGCUCGCAGUAGCACCUAGGUAUUUGAUACUGGUUCUAUUGCUAAUAUUUGCAACUCAAAACAGGGGUUACAGAUUAAGCAAAGAUUGGCUAAGGACAAGGUAACGAUGAGCGUGGGAAAUGGUUCCAAAGUUGAUGUGAUCGCAGUCGGAAUGCUACCUCUACAUCUACCUUCGGGAUUAGUAUUAGACCUAAAUAAUUGUUAUUUGGUGCCAGCGUUGAGCAUGAAUAUUAUAUCUGGAUCUUAUUUGAUGCAAGACGGUUAUUCAUUUAAAUCAGAGAAUAAUGGUUGUUCUAUUUAUAUGAGUAAUAUCUUUUAUGGUCAUGCACCCUUGAAGAGUGGUCUAUUCUUAUUGAAUCUUGAUAGUAGUGACACACAUAUUCAUAAUGUUGAAGCCAAAAGAUGCAGAGUUGAUAAUGAUAGUGCAACUUAUUUGUGGCACUACCGUUUAGGUCAUAUCGGUGUAAAGCGCAUGAAAAAACUCCAUACCGAUGGACUUUUGGAACCACUUGAUUAUGAAUCACUCUCUACUUGCGAACUGUGCCUCAUGGGCAAAAUGACUAAAACACCGUUCUCCGAUACUAUGGAGAGAGCAACAGAUUUGUUGGAAAUCAUACAUACAGAUGUAUGUGGUCCGAUGAAUGUUGAGGCUCGUGGCGGAUAUCGUUAUUUUCUCACCUUCACAGAUGACUUAAGAAGAUAUGGGUAUAUCUACUUAAUGAAACAUAAGUUUGAAACAUUUGAAAAGUUCAAAGAAUUUCAGAGUGAAGUUGAAAAUCAUCGUAACAAGAAAAUAAAGUUUCUACGAUCUGAUCAUGGAGGAGAAUAUUUGAGUUACGAGUUUGGUGUACAUUUAAAAAAUGCGGAAUAGUUUCGAAACUCACGCCACCCGGAACACCACAACAUAAUGGUGUGUCCAAACGUCGUAAUCGUACUUUACUAGAUAUGGUGCGAUCUAUGAUGUCUCUUACUGAUUUACCGCUAUCGUUUUGGGGUUAUGCUUUAGAGACGGCCGCAUUCACGUUAAAUAGGGCACCAUCAAAAUCCGUUGAGACGACGCCUUAUGAACUGUGGUUUGGCAAAAAACCGAAGUUGUUGUUUUUGAAAGUUUGGGGCUGCGAUGCUUAUGUGAAAAAGCUUUAACCUGAUAAGCUCGAACCCAAAUCGGAGAAAUGUGUCUUCAUAGGAUACCCAAAGGAGACCGUUGGGUACACCUUCUAUCACAGAUCCGAAGGCAAGAUUUUUGUUGCUAAAUUAGGAAACUUUCUAGAGAAGGAGUUUCUCUCGAAAGAAGUGAGUGGGAGGAAAGCAGAACUUGAUGAGGUAACUGUACUUGCUCCCUUAUUGGAAAGUAGUUCAUCACGGAAACCGGCUUCCGUGACACCUACACCAAUCAGUGAGGAAGUUAAUGAUGAUGAUCAUGAAACUUCAGACCAAGUUACUACUGAGCCUCAUAGAUCAACCAGAGUAAGAUCCGCAGCAGAGUGGUACGGUAGUCCUGUUCUGGAAGUCAUGCUACUAGAUCAUGAUGACCCUACGAACUAUGAAGAAGCGAUGGUGAGCCCAGAUUCCGCAAAAUGGCUUGAGGCCAUGAAAUCUGAGAUGGGAUCCAUGUAUGAGAACAAAGUAUGGACUUUGGUUGACUUGCCUGAUGAUCGGCAAGCAAUUGAAAAUAAAUGGAUCUUCAAGAAGAAGACUGACACUGACGGUAAUGUUACUGUCUACAAAGCUCGACUUGUUGUGAAAGGUUUUCGACAAGUUCAAGGGAUUGACUAUGAUGAGACCUUCUCACUCGUAGCGAUGCUUAAGUCUGUCCGAAUCAUGUUAGCAAUUACCAUAUUUUAUGAUUAUGAAAUUUGGCAAAUGGAUGUCAAAACUGCAUUUCUGAAUGGAUUUCUAGAAGAAGAGUUGUAUAUGAUGCAACCAGAAGGUUUUGUGGAUCCAAAGGGAGCUAACAAAAUGUGCAAGCUCCAGCGGUCCAUUUAUGGACUGGUGCAAGCCUCUCAGAGUUGGAAUAAACGCUUUGAUAGUAUGAUCAAAGCAUUUGGUUUUGUACAGACUUUUGGAGAAGCCUGUAUUUAUAAGAAAGUGAGUGGGAGCUCUGUAGCAUUUCUAAUAUUAUAUGUACAUAUUGCUGGUUGGAAAUGAUAUAGAAUUUCUAGAUAGCAUAGGGAUACUUGAAUAAGAGUUUUUCAAUGAAAGACGACCUCGGUGAAGCUGCUUAUAUAUUGGGCAUUAAGAUAUAUAGAGAUAGAUCAAGACGCUUAAUUGGACUUUCACAAAGCACAUACCUUGAAAAAGUUUUGAAGAAGUUCAAAAUGGAUCAAGCAAAGAAAGGGUUCUUGCCUGUGUUACAAGGUGUGGAGUUCAGUAAGACUCAAUGCCCGACCACUGCAGAAGAUAGAGAGAAAAUGAAAGAUGUUCCCUAUGCUUCAGCCAUAGGCUCUAUCAUGUAUGCAAUGUUGUGUACCAGACCUGAUGUGUGCCUUGCUAUAAGCCUAGCAGGGAGGUACCAAAGUAAUCCAGGAGUGGAUCACUGGACAGCGGUCAAGAACAUCCUGAAAUACCUGAAAAGGACUAAGGAUAUGUUUCUCAUUUAUGGAGGUGACAAAGAGCUCAUCGUAAAUGGUUACGUUGAUGCAAGCUUUGACACUGAUCCGGACGAUUCUAAAUCACAAACCGGAUACGUGUUUACAUUGAACGGUGGUGCUGUCAGUUGGUGCAGUUCUAAACAAAGCGUCGUGGCGGGAUCUACGUGUGAAGCGGAGUACGUAGCUGCUUCAGAAGCAGCAAAUAAAGGAAUCCAGAUUUCAGAAGAGAUAUAGAUUUGCAAGAUACAUACGGAUCUGAAUGUUGCAGACCCGUUGACUAAGCCUCUUCCACGAGCAAAACAUGAUCAGCACCAAGGCUCCAUGGGUGUUAGAAUCAUUACUGUGUAAUCUAGAUUAUAGACUCUAGUUUAAGUGGGAGACUGAAGGAAAUAUGCCCUAGAGGCAAUAAUAAAGUUAUUAUUUAUUUCCUUAUAUCAUGAUAAAUGUUUAUUAUUCAUGCUAGAAUUGUAUUAACCGAAAACAUAAUACAUGUGUGAAUACAUAGACAAACAAAGUGUCACUAGUAUGCCUCUACUUGACUAGCUUGUUGAUCAAAGAUGGUUAUGUUUCCUAGCCAUAGACAUGAGUUGUCAUUUGAUUAACGGGAUCACAUCAUUAGGAGAAUGAUGUGAUUGACAUGACCCAUUCCGUUAGCUUAGCACCCGAUCGUCUAGUAUGUUGCUAUUGCUUUCUUCAUGACUUAUACAUGUUCCUAUGACUAUGAUAUUAUGCAACUCCCGUUUACCGGAGGAGCACUUUGUGUGCUACAAAACGUCACAACGUAACUGGGUGAUUAUAAAGGAGCUCUACAGGUGUCUCCAAAGGUACAUGUUGGGUUGGCGUAUUUCGAGAUUAGGAUUUGUCACUCCGAUUGUCGGAGAGGUAUCUCUGGGCCCUCUCGGUAAUGCACAUUACUUAAGCAUUGCAACUAAUGAGUUAGUUGCGGGAUGAUGUAUUAUGGGAUGAGUAAAGAUACUUGCCGGUAACGAGAUUGAACUAGGUAUUGAGAUACUGACGAUCGAAUCUCGGGCAAGUAACAUACCGAUGACAAAGGGAACAACGUAUGUUGUUAUGUGGUCUGACCGAUAAAGAUCUUCGUAGAAUAUGUAGGAGCCAAUAUGAGCAUCCAGGUUCCUCUAUUGGUUAUUGACCAGAGACGUGUCUCGGUCAUGUCUACAUAGUUCUCGAACCCGUAGGGUCCGCACGCUUAACGUUUCGAUGACAUUUAUAUUAUGAGUUUAUAUGUUUUGAUGUACCGAAGGUUGUUCGCUGUCCUGGAUGUGAUCACGGACAUGACGAGGAGUCUCGAAAUGGUCGAGACAUGAAUAUUGAUAUAUUGGAAGCCUAUGUUUGGAUAUCGGAAGUGUUUCGGGUGAAAUCUGGAUUUUACCGGAGUACCGGGAUGUUACCGGAACCCCCCGGUAACUAAAUGGGCCUUAGUGGGCCUAGGUGGAAGAGAGGAGAGGAGGCAAGGGCUGGCUGCGCGCCCCUCCCCCCCCCCCUAGUCCGAAUAGGACAAGGAGAGGGGGGCGGCGCCCCCCCCCCUUCCUUCCUUCUCCUCCACUCCUUCCCCCUCCCAAGUCCUAAUCCAACUAGGAAAGGGGGGAGUCCUACUCCCGGUGGGAGUAGGACUCCUCCGGCGCGCCUCCUCCUAUGGCCGGCCGCACCCCCCUUGCUCCUUUAUAUACGGGGGCAGGGGGCACCCCAUAGAUACAACAAUUGAUCGUUUGAUCUUUUAGCCGUGUGCGGUGCCCCCCUCCACCAUAGUCCACCUCGAUAAUACUAUAGCGGUGCUGAGGCGAAGCCCUACGUCGGUUGAACAUCAUCAUCGUCACCAUGCCGUCGUGCUGACGAAACUCUCCCUCAACACUCAGCUGGACCGGAGUUCAAGGGACGUCAUCGGGCUGAACGUGUGCUGAACUCGGAGGUGCCGUGCGUUCGGUACUUGAUCGGUCGGACCGUGAAGACGUAUGACUACAUCAACCGCGUUGUGCUAACACUUCCGCUUUCGGUCUACGAGGGUACGUGGACAACACACUCCCCUCUCGUUGCUAUGCAUCACCAUGAUCUUGCGUGUGCGUAGGAAAUUUUUUCAAAUUACUACGUUCCCCAACAGUCCUCAUAAAUGGCAUUGUACCUGCCCUACAACCUAGCUAUGAGCACUUGCCAUCGAAAGCAAAAAUAUGCUUCUCCUUCUGUGUUGUUUAUCCCAAGGAUAGGAUGAUGGAUAAAGACAUAUUAAUCCGGCUAUGGAUGGAAAGUGUCUUCGUUGCAUCAGAAACAGCAGGCCAACAAAUUUGCGAUGUUCUAUUUUGGAGAUGUUUCUUACAAGAUGUGGAUAUUGGUAGGAUGUCUUCAUACAUAAUAUACAUGAUUUCAUGCAUGAUCUUGUUGACUCUGUAAGAAGAAAUAAUUGCUUACUUAUGCAAGAAUCUUCAUCGUCCCAAGAAAUUGUGGAACGAUCUACUGAUGGGAGUUCAUUUCAAUAUGAGGUUCAACAUUCGUCACUUGAUUUUUUAGUAAUAUUGCCACUUCGUAGGAAAUUAUUGCUCCCUGUCCGCUCACGAUAUUAGUCUCAUGAGAGAAGGACUGUAUUAAGACUCCGCUGCAUAUGGUCACAUAUAAAUUCAUGUUCCUGCAAGCAUUGAAGUCAUCCUCAAUCAAAACGCACAUGGGAAACUUAAAGCAUCUUCACUACCUAGAUUGUUCUAAUUCUUGUAUGUUUGAAUUGCCUGAAUCCACUACGUACCAUCUUGCAUAUAUAGCUUCCAAAAACUAAGGCUCAACCAUCAUUUAUUCCUUUACUAGAAGAGAUGAAAUUUAUGAGAAGUCUUCGGCACAUCUUCCUUACUAACUAUGGUUGUUUGGACCACAUGCCACAAGGUAUUGGUUAAUUGAAUUCUCCGACCACAUUGAUGAAUUAUGUCAUUGAUAGUGAUUCGGGUUAUGGGAAUUGAUCAACAUGAAAAUUUGAGUCUAGGUGGUGCUCUUUCUUUUACUCAAUUGAUAAAGGUGAGUAGUGCAAAAAAGUGUUAAACAAGGCAAUAUGUCCACCAAAGCAUAAGUUGAAAUGAUUAUCACUCGAUUUGUACUGGGAUUAUAGAAGAAACUAUGGAGAUAAAGUACAUAAUAAUGCGAAAGGAAUAUUACAAGCCCUUCACCCUAAAAAAGGAUUAAAUUUUUAUUGUUAAUUAUGUUGUUAUACUGGAGCUAAAUUAUCAUCGUGGAUGCAAAACUCUACACUGUUCAAACACCUCCCUGAUUGCUAUUCAAGUAGAUGCAAGAACGGCAAGGAUCCCCACCAUUAUGGCAGCUUCCUUGCAUCAAGUAGUGGCGUUUGGAAUGCUUGAUGUGUAUAUGUGUUUGUAAUAAUGAUAAAAAAUGUGAGGAAUCCUGUAUUUCUCCACAAUCAUUCUUCCCAAAACUAGAAAACCUAAUAGAUAGCAACAUUCCAAAGCUACAGAGAUGGCACCAUGAGGUUGUGAUACGUCUCCAACGUAUCUAUAAUUUUUGAUUGUUCCAUGCUAUUAUAUUAUCUGUUUUGGAUGUUUAAUGGGCUUUAAUAUGCUCUUUUAUAUUAUUUUUGGGACUAACCUAUUAACCGAAGGCCCAGUGCAAAUUGCUGUUUUUUUUUGCCUAUUUCAGUGUUUCGCAGAAAAGGUUAUCAAAUGGAACGAAACCUUCGCGAGGAUCUUUCUUGGAACAAACGCAACCCAAGAGACUUGGAGUGGAAGUCAAGGAAGAAACGAGGCAGCCACGAGGCAGGAGGGCGCCCCCCCACCCUCGUGGGCCCCUCAUAGCUCCACCGACCUACUUCUUUCGCCUAUAUAUACUCUUAUACCCUGAAAACAUCGAGGGGAUCCACGAAACCACUUUUCCACUGCCGCAACCUUCUGUACCCGUGAGAUCCCAUCUUGGGGCCUUUUCCGGUGAUCGUCCAGAGGGGAUUCGAUCACGGAGGGCUUCUACAUCAACACCAUAGCCUCUCCGAUGAUGUGUGAGUAGUUUACCAUAGACCUUCGGGUCCAUAGUUAUUAGCUAGAUGGCUUCUUCUCUCUCUUUGGUUCUCAAUACAAAGUUCUCCUCGAUUUUCUUGGAGAUCUAUUCGAUGAAAAACCUUUUGCGGUGUUUUUGCCGAGAUCCAAUGAAUUGUGGGUCUAUGAUCAAGAUUAUCUAUGAAAAAUAUUUGGUUCUUCUCUGAAUUCUUAUAUGCAUGAUUUAAUAUCUUUGCAAGUCUCUUCGAAUUAUCGGUUUAGUUUGGCCUACUAGAUUGAUCUUUCUUGCAAUGGGAAAAGUGCUUAGCUUUGGGUUCAAUCUUGCGGUGCUCGAUCCCAGUGACAGAAAGGGAAACGACAUGUGUUGUAUUGUUGCCAUCGAGGAUAAAAAUAUGGGGUUUAUAUCAUAUUGCUUGAGUUUAUCCCUCUACAUCAUGUCAUCUUGCCUAAUGCGUUACUCUAUUCUUAUGAACUUAAUACUCUAGAUGCAUGCUCGAUAGCGGUCGAUGUGUGGAGUAAUAGUAGUAGAUGCAGAAUCGUUUCGGUCUACUUGUCACGGACGUGAUGCCUAUGUUCAUGAUCAUUCCUAGAUAUUCUCAUAACUAUGUGCUUUUCUAUCAAUUGCUCAACAGUAAUUUGUUCACCCACCGUAAUAUAUGCUAUCUUGAGAGAAGCCACUAGUGAAACCUAUGGCCCCCGGGUCUACUUUACAUCAUAUAAGUUUCCGAUCUACAAUUCUAGUUUACUAUUUAUUUUCAAUCUUUACUUUUCCAAUCUAUACAACAAAAAUACCAAAAAUAUUUAUCUUAUUAUCUUUAUCAGGUCUCACUUUUGCAAGUGGCCGUGAAGGGAUUGACAACCCUUUUAUCGCAUUGGUUGCAAGGUUCUUGAUUGUUUGUGCAUGUACUAGGAGAUUUGUGUGUAGUCUCCUACUGGAUUGAUACCUUGGUUCUCAAAAACUAAGAGAAAUAAUUACACUACUUUGUUGCAUCACCCUUUCUUGUUCAAGGGAAAACCAAUGUAUGCUCAAGAGGUUGCAGGAGAAGUAACAGAUGUAGCAUUCCUUUAGCUCAAGAUGUUAAAUAUUCGUAAUUACUCAGUGCGAGAAAGUACACCUCAGAUGCUCCCUUUGGUUGAAGAUCUAUAGGUGUUUGGAAAAAACAUUUUUCCAAUUUACCAUUAGAUGAAUUUGUGAGUGCAAUCUAAUCUUGAGUGCGAAGGUAUAUUUUGUGGAACCUACAGUCGAUUGUCUGCUUACUGAUGACCUUCAUAUCCCAAGUCAUGGAGACUAACAUGUCACUAAUGCUCAUAGGUCUGACAAAAAAAUGUGGAAUUCUUUGAAGAAGAGCUUAACAGAAUAUGCAAAGGUGGAGAUAAUAGAUCGUGACUGUGUAGUUGCUUGUUUGAUGCUAUGUGAUUCAUUUGGUUAGGUUGCUUGUUUUGAGGGCUCAUAUUAUCAAACUUGUUGAACAACCACUGCAGAUGCUUUGAUUUCUUUUAUUUGGAAAUUGUUAAUUAUUGAAUGUUGAGCAUCAAAGAAAAUUGACCGAGUACAAAAAAAUAGGGGGGGGGGAGGAGGUGGCGAACGUGUCCGUGCUCUAGCACCCUCCCGGUUGUCCACGAACAUGUUCAGACAUGCGUCCAUGGAUGUUUGACGGUGUUCAUUUGAUGAAUAGAAAAGUGUAGGAUAUGCCCUUUGUCUUCAAGGCAACUUUUAAUGCUUAAAAAUUGACUUUGAUUUUUAGAAGGGACAUAGGUUUAUUGUAAAGGUCUAUCCUCUUUAUAAUAGUUGAUUUAGGAAUAAUUAUUUCCAACCUAGUACAUAUUGAUAAUUUGUUUGAAGGUUACACGAGUAAAUUGAAAUUGAGAAACUAUUUGAAAGUUUUGUGCAUAUAUUUUUGAAACUCAGAAGUUGCAACAAUGUGUUGCGGAAUCAAUGACUUGAUGAGGGGCAAAUUGAUCAAUCCUGAAAGCCAUGUAGAAAUAUCAAAUCGGUUAUACCAAAGUAUGUAUAGAACACAUCAAUCUAGAUUUGACAUAUCAAUGCGAGGGGAUACAAACUUAGUAUCAACAUAUCUUUUUGCAUUCACUGGACACUAUUCUUUUGGAUAUCCAUGAUCAAGAUAUGUUGCAUUAAAGAAAUGGUGGAAGUCAGAUGUGUAGUAUCAACAUCAUUAAUAAAGGAUAUCCAAAUUGAGUAUAUACAUAUUUGUAUAUAGAUUUGACACUAAUCAUAUGCAUAUCCAUGACGCAACUUGCAAACUUCAUUUAUGAAACCCAACUAUACGCAUUAUAAAUAAACAUCAACCUCCCAUACAUCAUAUCCCUCCAACUCCUCACCCCCCCCCCCACGCAAAUAUCCAUGCACAUAUUAGAUAUCAUUAAAAAGGAGAUCAAAACUGAGCACUCAAAUAUUUAUGCACAGAUUAACCAAUAAUAAUAGGCAUAUCCAUGACCAAGCUCCAUACUGCAUUUAUGAACCCCACUAUACACAUUAUAAAUAAAUCUCAACCUCUCAUACAUCAUAUCCAACCAUUUUCCCCCUACACAACCAUCUAUAUCCAUUUAUCCCCACCUCUCUAGGUUGUAGUACAAUUCAACGCUUCUAACAAGCCUUGCAACAAUAUAUAUAUGGCACGAACACAGAUGGACACCAUCAUCUUUUCCGCCAUUGUCUUCAUGUUGCUUUUCGUGACCACGACGGCUCAAGCCAGUGGAUCUGGUGGUGCCAAGCCCAAGGCGACCGACCUCGUGAUAGAAGUGUGCAAGAACGCCACAUUAAACAACGCAAAUGUGGAUCCUCUCAGAGAGGAAUUCUGUUUAACGACCCUCUAGUCAGACAAUCGAAGCGCUGAGGCUAAGGAACUCCGUGACUUGCUGCAAGUCACCGUCGACAUCCUUAGGGGUCGAGUCACUACUACCAGCAGCAAGGUCAAGAAAAUGUUGGAAAACACCAAGAAGGGCACGGUGCCAAUGCGCGUCUUCAGUUUGUGUGAGGUGGAUUAUGACACCAUGGUGAGCGUCAUCAACAUAUGUGAUGCCAUUAUCAAGGAUUACCAACGUGACGAGGGCAGGCAAUGGUCCAAAGAGCUAGUCCGUUGGAUGGAUAUGGCACGUGAUCAUGUCAAUGAGUGCAUCUCUGAGCUUGUUGACAUGCCUGCAGUGGGGGCUCUUGUCAAUGAAAACAAUGAAUUGGGAAUGCUGGUUAAACUGAACACCGCCUUGGUAGCAGCCCGUAUGUUUCCCGAGUAAUAGGAUGUUUGUGUUUAUAUGGCAGAAAAUAUGUCGAUGAGAAAUAAAUUGUACUAUUAAUAGUUAUUACUAUAAAUAUAAUGAUAAAUGUGUUGUGGCAUCAAUAUGCAUGGUUUUCCACAAAUUUUUCAUUUUGCUAUGAUAAUUCUAGAUUUUUUGGGGCCCAUUCGUCUUUCUUUCUUCAAAGUCUUACAAUAAUGACAUCUAUCACUCGUUGUGGAACCUCUCUUUUAAAUUGGCUCUUGAAAUCCGAUUGUCAGUAUUUUUUUAAUAUACCAUUGUUAGUAUGUUAUUCUGAUGUGUUGAACUUAUCUAUCUCCCAAGUUAUCUCUAUGCGUGAAUAUUUUCAAGUAUGAAGAGCCAAGGUCAAUGUAACAGCGCAAACAAUUGCAACCACCCGUUUAGCCAACAGGCUACUACCAUCUACGUGUCAAUCCUUAUCUUUACAUAAUAUAAUAAUAAAGAACGGAGGCUUUCAUAUUGUCCAUCACUCAUCUGUUUAUAUCGAUCGAUUUUAUGUUAACCAUAAAAAUUAACGGCUGGGAUUUAAAAAUAAAUCAACACACAUGUAAUAAGAAAAGCAAACAAACAAACGCUAUGGAACAAAGUAAAAAAAGUCAUGAACGUUGCACGUCUCUCUUGACGAUGAGAAAAAGGAAAACAAUCAUAUAUAUCAGAUCAAUUUCCUGACAAUCCCUCUUUGGCACUGCAAGCGCCGGUUAUAACUGUUUUGUGCAAACCGGCGCCUGCAGCCCACAUCCCUCUAAUGCGACUGGGCCGGUCCAUGUAUCUGCUUUUAUAUUUUUUUCUAAAGGUUCAGAAAAUGUGUGUCCGCACGAAAUUGAACUCAAGAUCUGCUCUAGUAAAUUAGCACCGCAACCAUCAGGCCACAAAAUAUCGCGGUAACUCCUCCGUUUGGGAAUCUUCCAGAACCUUCCCUAAACCGUUUUUUGGUUCGUUGGUCAUUUCCAGGUGCGAUUUUACUCGGUUUUCUUUUGUUCUUUUCCUUUUAUUUCUUAAAUGCGUUUUUUUAUCGUGUUAUUUUUCAAAAUCAAUCAUGUUUUUCUCUUUCACGUAUUUAACAAAAUCAAUGAACUUUUUUCCAAAUUCGAUGAACCUUUUUAAAAAUUGAUGAACUUUUUUGAAAUACGAGUAACUUUGUUCAAAUCUGAUGAACUUUUUUUUCAAAAUUGAUUCUACAACUAUCGCUAAUGCAUAGUGAUAAAGUAAGUCAAUUACAUGGCAUUUGCAUCUCAUACAAUAAAGCGACAACCAUAAGGCAACUGCCAGUUGCCGAUAACUUUUACAAAACAUGAUCAUCUCAUACAAUAACGUAUAUCACAUCAUGUCUUGACCAUAUCACAUCACAACAUGCCCUGCAAAAACAAGUUAGACAUCCUCUACUUUGAUGUUGCAAGUUUUACGUGGCUGCUACGGGCUUCUAGCAAGAAACAUUCUUAACUACGCAUCAAAACCACAACGGUGAUUUAUCAAGUUUGUUGUUUUAGCCUUCAACAAGGACCGGACGCAGUCAAAUUCGAUUCAACAAAAGUGGGAGAAACAGACACCCACCAGCCACCUUUAUGCAAAACUAGUUGCAUGUCUGUCGGUGGAACAGGUCUCAUGAACGUGGUCAUGUAAGGUUGGUACGGGCCGCUUCAUCCAACAAUACCGCCGAAUCAAAAUAAGACAUUGGUGGUAAGCAUAGACCUGGCUUGGAUGCCACUGUUGGUGCAAUUUCAAAAAAAAUCCUACGCUCACGUAAGAUCUAUCUAGGAGAUGUAUAGCAACAAGAGGGGGAGAGUGUGUCCACGUACCCUCGUAGACCAAAAGCAGAAUCAUUUUGACAAUGUGGUUGAUGUAGUCGAACUUCUUCUCGUUCCGACCGAUUAAACACCGAACGUACGGCACCUCCGAGUUCUGCACACGUUUAGCUCAAUGACGUCCCUCGAGCUCUUGAUCCAACAGAUUGUCGAGGGAGAGUUUCGUCAGCACAAUGGCGUGGUGAUGGUGAUGGUGAAGUGAUCCGCACAGGGCUUCGCCUAAGCACUAUGACAACUAGUCGUCUACCCGUGCGUUCGCACGGGCUAUAGAAAUUAUAUAUUUACAAAAUCUUCACAAUACAUAUUCUAAGGACAAUGGUGAUUGAUAUUAGAUGACAUUUCAUUUUCCUAUCCUCACUGUAAUGGAUGAGCCCAAAAUUAGAAAGAUAACAAUACAUGCCAUAGCAUUAAUAAUUAACAUAGAGAACCUUUUGUUGUAUAAAUCAUUCUUAGAUUCUCGUUGACAACCUUGAAUCAUAAGAACUGGCCAAAUUAUGUCUCUGUAUAACUUGUGUUGGUAUAUUUUAGUUAGAAAUCAAUAAUACUUUUGCUAAUAUUUGACCUGAAAAUGAGAAUGUUUUUUAUAAUUUAUACCACGAUGUAUGUCAGGAAGAACCUAUAAAUAUAAUAAAGUGGUGUUGUCUAUGUAAAAAAAGUCUCGCAUAAAUUUGAAUAUAAAGACAUUAUUUUGUUUGUUCUUGGAAUUAUUAUAUCCUCGAGUAAUAUUGUAUGAAUAAAUAUAUGACAACCCAAUUGUAUAGUUGGAUUAUUUUUAAUAUGCAGAACUCCAAAGCACGGAAGGUUCAUAUUAGAAUUUUUAAUGCAUGUAAUGUAUCAAAUUCUGAAGUAGAUUUGAAAGUCUGAUAUCAUAAUACAUUUCACAAUGACUCCAAAAAAGAUUUUGGUUGAUGGCUUGCGUGAAAUUUGUUUCAUUAGAUUUUUCACAUGAAAUAUGUUCAGAGUAUUACUCUUUGAACUUGUUGUGUUUGCAUGUUCGAGCAAAAAAUAAUUAUCAAGUUUAAUAGUAAGAAACUUAAAAUGAUUAGAAACUUUAAAUAGUAUUGGGACUCAUAGAGUGCAAUUUUUAAAUGUUACCAGUUCCUCUCAUCAUGGGCGUAGUCAAUUGGAACACUUGGUUUGUUUUUCCUGUUUGCAGUUGAGAAGGUGAAUCUUACUGACUACAUAUAAUGUAUUGAUUUCUACUCCAGCACGUACGCCAUGACAAACUUGUACCUGCUGCGAGGCCCUCUCGAGCAAUCGAUACAUACAUAUGUUAGUGCGUAUACUUUCUUUUAAUGUAUAUACUUGUCUUUGCUAUAGCCUUCUUCCUACAUCUGCGAGUAAGCAGCAACCUGUUUUUUUAAUAAUUGUCACCUUGAACAUGGCACACAUGAACCCUAUAUUCCUCCAUUGCCGAACCAUCUAAAACAACUAACUUUUCCUUACUCACUGACACACGGUUUUAAGCAUCAUCCCAUACUGUUCAUUUUUCAUAUUCUAAUAUGUUUUCCAAACUGAGAAAAUGAUACAACCAAUCAUAUCUAGCGAAAUUGUUCUGCAACUUUCUUGCUGUAAGCAUGAUAUAAUUCUUCCUUGAAAUUGAUGGGAAAUAGGCUAAAGGGUAAUCUGUUUCUAUUAAAAACUACAACGCAGAAUCAGGUUUUUCGUCUUAGUUUGCAAACCCUAAACAAGAAUCGAACGAAAUUGGUACCACUGGAAAGCUUGCAACGUAUCCCAUAACUUUUACCACUGUCUUAAUUUCAGAUUAUGCAAUGUUUUAUCACAGUUUUAAACUUAACUCUACCGGCUCAGACAACCCAUGCCUAGAUAAAUACUUAGCGUCAGUCUCUCCAAUCCAUCUUUCUACUUUGCCAAUAAUGACUAAUUAGGGUUUACCUUUUCUGUGUGGAAUCAUUCUUCCAGUUCCAUGGCAAGAUCACAAAUUUUGGACGACCCAACGGAUUCUCCUUCCUCCAGAGUCUUCUUCUCCGCUCAGAUUGGCUACUGCGCCUUACUCUUCUGAUUACAUGUAUUCCCUUCUCUCUUCUGACUAAAUUCUCCCUGGUGCAAUAUGUGCAGUCUACUGCCUUGAGCUGCUCCUUGUCAUAGCUUGCUCUGCACUCCAGAUCUCUUGCUCUGAUUGGUGGCUGGAUCAAAUGCAACCCACCCAACAGUAGUUAGCUCAACAUAAGCGGCUUCAAAAAAACGCAAGGAGCAGCACAUAAACGUAAAGGUCGACGACUGAAAAUGGCAACACCAUCCUAGAGCAGUGGAGCUCACGGCUAUACGUAGAACUUGGUGGUGGUAGUCAUGAACAGCGACCAGCACCAGCCUCCGGUAGAAGGGGGCAGUUCAUCCAUGUGCUUGAGUGUUGACGGCUGGCCAUAUUGUGAACGACAGAGUCGUCAAUUCUGACUAAGUGUAGUCUCAUGCUGAUUCUCUACUGCCGCAUAGGCAUGUCCGGCGGUGGCCAGCGUGACUGCAUGCUGGGUCAUCGAUCAAUGAUCCGGGCAAUUCAAUUGUAAACCCCAAAAAAGCAAAUUCAAAGCAAAUCAGUGUGAGAUGAGGAACCUGAUUUAGAUAAGGAACAAAAUUCUAAUGUGAUAACUUCAGCGAGAGCUUGGGAUCCAUGCCCUAACAUCCUUGCUCCAAUUUGAGAGAGAGAACGAUCUGUUUACCAUGUGUGAAGUAAAGAGAGACAUGAGAGAAGAGAUAUAUGAGAGUUUGAGAGAGGGAGAAACGGGAUAGAUUGAGAGAGAUAGACGAAGAUAAAUAUGACAGUUUGAGAGAGAGAAAGAGACGUGAGGGACUAAGAGAGAGAGAGUUUGAGAGAGGGACGUCAGAGAUUGUGAGAGACCACGAUUUCUUAGGUUGUUGUUUUUCUUUUACUCUGAGAGGAAUAGAAAGAGGUAGAUAUUUUAUGGUUUACUAUUCAAAAGUUUUUUUGGCAGAACUAAGCUGCCUGAAUGGUCAAAAAAAAUAUUGUUCUCUGAAGAUUAAUCUACACCGUAAUAACUCGGUCCCACCAGAUGAACGGCUGGUAAAUUCUAAUUAACGUGGUAAUUUUUAGGGAGUCUGUAAUUAAUAUAAGUAUAGAUAUAGAUAUAGAUAGAUAGAUAGAUAUAGAUAGAUAGAUAUAGAUAGAUAGAUAUAGAUAUAGAUAGAUAGAUAGAUAGAUAGAUAGAUAGAUAUAGAUAGAUAGAUAUGACUGAAGGCGUAAACUGUGGAGGGGCGCCGCACACGGCUAGGAAUCAAUGUUGUGUGUUCUAGAGAUGCCCCUCCCACAUAUAUAUUAGGUGGGAGAGGGAGGGGAGCAGCAAGGGGCGCCUCCUCCAAGUCGCCCCCCCCUCCCUUUCAUAAGUGUUGGAGGCUGAAUCCUCCCCUUUCCUUCUCCCUUCCCUCCUUUCCUUCUUCUCCUAUUUUGGUCUACAUGGGGCGCACCAGCCCACUAGGGGCUGGUCUGUCCCCUGCUUGGCCCAUUAGGCCCAUGUAGUUGCCGGGGGAUGUCCGGAACCCCUUCCGUUGACCCGAUAUGUACCAGGAACCCUCGGAACACUUCCAGUGUCCAAAUACCAUCGUCCUAUAUAUGAAUCUUUACCUAUCGACCAUUUUGAGACUCCUCGUCAUGUCCGUGAUCUCAUCCGGGACUCCGAACAACAUUCGGUCACCAAAUCGCAUAACUCAUAUAAUACAAAAUCGUCAUCAAACGUUAAGUGUGCGGACCCUACGGGUUCGAGAACUAUGUAGACAUGACUAAGACACCUCUCCGGUCAAUAACCAACAGCGGAAACUGGAUGCUCAUAUUGGUUCCUACAUAUUCUACGAAGAUCUUUAUCGGUCGUACCGUAAUGACAACAUACGUUAUUCCCUUUGUCAUUGGUAUGUUACUUGCCCGAGAUUCGAUCGUCGAUAUCUUCAUACCUAUUUCAAUAUCGUUACCGGCAAGUCUCUUCACUCGUUCCAUAAUACAUCAUCCCAAAAUUAACUCAUUAGUCACAUUGCUUUCAAGGCUUAUUAUGAUGUGCAUUACCGAGAGGGCCCAGAGAUACCUCACCGAUACUCGGAGUGACAAAUCCUAAUCUCAAUCUAUGCCAACCCAACAAACACCUUCGGAGAUACCUGUAGAGCAUCUUUAUAAUCACCCAGUUCCGUUGUGACGUUUGAUAGUACACAAGGCAUUACUCCGGUAUCCGAGAGUUGCAUAAUCUCAUAGUCAAAGGAACAUGUCUAUGACAUGAAGAAAGCUGUAGCAAUAAAACUGAACGAUCAAUAUGCUAAGCUAACCGAUGGGUCUUUUCCAUCACAUCAUUCUCCUAAUGAUGUGAUCCCGUCCAUCAAAUGACAACACAUGUCUAUGGUUAGGAAACUCAACCAUCUUUGAUUAACGAGCUAGUCUAGUAGAGGCUUACUAGGGAAACUGUGUUUUGUCUAUGUAUCCACACAUGUAUCUAGUUUCCGGUUAAUACAAUUCUAGCAUGAAUAAUAAACAUGUAUCAUGAUAUAAGGAAAUAUAAAUAAGAACUUUAUUAUUGCCUCUAGGGCAUAUUUCCUUCACUAAGAGAGGAAGGCGGUUGUCGCCCUUGUCCCUUGUUACCAGCCUACCAUGCCGUCAUCGAUCACUGGCUCACUUAGAACACGAGCUAGUAGAUUUUGUGAUAAGAGUGAGGAGGAUGGUACCGUAGAAAAUGUGAAAAAUUGUAUUUUAUUAGAGAUGGAUUCAAAACAAAUUGCUUGAGCGAGUGGUUUAUAUAUUUUCUUCAUCAAUUCGUACAAUUUUUUGGUUAGGAUAGAGGGGUAAAUGCAUUGGUUGGGUGCUUCAAGAUUUAAUAACGGACACAGUGGCAUAUUGGUUUCAUGCCAAACAACCGACAUCAUAUUUUUCUUUUGUCGUAAGGUACGACAUUCAACUGUAUGUUGGCAAUGUCUAAGGACAAUCAUAUCUGCCUUCUUGGGCGUCACGGGAGGCACAUGCCUUGUUCCCUUGAUGGAGGUGGCAGAUGGCAUGAUCACGGGGGGAGGGGAUCAGGGCAGAGAGCGGGGCGGUUGGCAGGUGAUAACCCACAAGUAUAGGGGAUCACAACAGUUUUCGAGGGUAGAGUAUUCAACCCAAAUUUACUGAUUCGACACAAGGAGAGCCAAAGAAUAUUCUCAAGUAUUAGCAGUUGAUUUGUCAAUUCAUCCACACCUGUAAGACUUCAUAUCUGCAGCAAAUUAUUUAGUAGCAAAGUAGUAUGGAAGUAACGGUAACGGUGGUAAAAGUAACAGUAACAGUUCUGUAGUAAUUGUAACAGUGGCAAUGGUAAAGUAACUAAGCAAAGAUCAAUAUGUGAAAAGCUCGUAGGCAUUGGAUCAAUGAUGGAUAAUUAUGUCGGAUGUGAUUCCUCAUGCAACAGUUAUAACAUAGGGUGACACAGAACUAGCUCCAGUUCAUCAAUGUAAUGUAGGCAUGUAUUUCGAAUAUAGUCAUACGUGCUUAUGGAAAAGAACUUGCAUGACAUCUUUUGUCUUACCCUCCCGUGGCAGGGGGUCCUGUUGGAAACUAAGGGAUAUUAAGGCCUCCUUUUAAUAGAGUACCGGACAAAAGCAUUAACACUUAGUGAAUACAUGAACUCCUCAAACUAUGGUAAUCACCGGGAGUGGUCCCGAUUAUUGUCACUUCGGGGUUACCGGAUCAUAACACAUAGUAGGUGACUAUUGACUUGCAAGAUAGGAUCAAGAACUCACAUAUAUUCAUGAAAACAUAAUAGGUUCAGAUAUGAAAUCAUGGCACUCGGGCCCUAGUGACAAGCAUUAAGCAUAGCAAAGUCAUAGCAACAUCAAUCUCAGAACAUAAUGGAUACUAGGGAUCAAACCCUAACAAAAAUAACUCGAUUACAUGGUAAAUCUCAUCCAACCCAUCACCGUCCAGCAUGCCUAUGAUGGAAUUACUCACGCACGGCGGUGAGCAUCAUGAAAUUGGUGAUGGAGGAAGGUUGAUGAUGACGAUGGCGACGGAUUCCCCUCUCUGGUGCCCCAAACGGACUCCAGAUCAUCCCUCCCGAGAGAGAUUAGGGCUUGGCGGCGGCUCCGUAUCGUAAAACGCGAUGAAUUCUUAUCUCUGAUUUUUUUCUCCCCGAGCGUGAAUAUAUACAGUUGGAGUUGAGGUCGGUGGAGCUUCAGGGGGCCCACGAGGCAAGGGGGCGCGCCCCCCACCCUCGUGGACAGGGUGUGGGCCCCUUGGUGUUGAUUCAUUCGCCAGUAUUUUUUAUAUAUUCCAAAAUAUUCUCCGUGAAGUUUCAGGUCAUUCCGAGAACUUCUAUUUCUGCACAAAAAUAACACCAUGGCAAUUCUACUGAAAACAGGGUCAGUCCGGAUUAGUUCCAUUCAAAUCAUGCAAGUUAGAGUCCAAAACAAGGGCAAAAGUGUUUGGAAAAGUAGAUAUGAUGGAGACAUAUUAGUAGGGGAUUCCUCCUUGAUGGUCCAUGGGGUUGUAUGUUGUGAAGGAGAAAGGAGACUACAGCGAAGGUCAAGUGAGCGUCAUCAGAUUUUAAUGUAGAGAGCACCAACGACAAAUUCCCGUUUAUGGCGGAAAAUUGAGCGAGAAGGGGACGUUCCGGUAGGAAAAGGGAAGGGUGCAUCGUCGAGUGGAGUUUUUGUGUUGGAACCGCGUGUUGGAGAUGAUGGAGGAUAAUAUGGAAAACCACAUAUCUUCCUCACAUAUAGGUUGGAUUUUGGUGAUCCCAGACUAUCUGAAUGGUUGGAUUUUCAGGAGCCUUUUAGGCGCCUAUCUGAUGUUCGAACACUCUCGGACAUAUGAGAGAGAAAUGGGCUUCAACCUUGGAGAUGAUCUUAAUCAUUUGUCUUGUCUAAUUCAUUUUUAUAUAUUAUAGCCUGUAGCAACACACGGGCAUUCCACUAGUAUUAAUUAGUGCUCUGGAAGACACCCGUUAAGAUGUGCUUCCAACACUCGAAGUGGGGGAUGUGUCCAAAUUAUGUCUUGACCGAAAUGCGCCCUGCAUCAAGAGUCAGUUGUCUAGCUGUAUGCCCUAUUCGCCACGCGGAGUUUCCUCGGUAAUUAAGGUAAAUCAAACAAAAUCAUUGGACAUUUAAUGACUACACCUUAUGCAUCCCCAGAGAUUGGAUCCACCCUACCAUACUAAGCCCUUCUAUCACUCGUGUUCAGAAUUGCACUUCACGUUGUCCCGUGUCCUAACCUCCACUUGGACCGAACUCCAGGAUCCAUGCAACCUGUAGGGCCGAAGAACGAGGUUGGGGGAGAGAGAGAGAAGAGACUACUAUGAUGUAAUUUUAUUUUAUAUAUACAUGACGUCCAUUCAAAGUCAUUCCAUCAACCCCUCAAACAAAUACAUCAGGUUGCAGGGACAUUGGACAUUGCCUUACCGAAUUACUCACACAUGGCGAUCGGAUCGCAAGAAGUAAUCAGUGAAGAAGACAUCGGAUCAGAUCACAAAACAAAGAGAGGAUUUCACAAUCCCUUGCAUUCAUCAGUCAUUAGUGGCAAUAUCAAUGGGAGUAUCAUAGAUUUUAUAAGAUAAACAUGUUUAGACUAUGGCAUGAUGAGCAUAAAAGUAACACACGUCAACUCUUCAAGAUUAAACUUGAUCAUCCUCUAGUAACAUAGAUAGAAAUCCAAACCGUAAGGAACUAGGUUGUUUAAUGCCUAGAUAGACCUCCGCUUCUUCACAUGAAAAGUUAGUAUAGCUGUAGCGGUGACAUGGUUAUUAUGCAAGUGUUAUUGAAGCAAAGAUAAUCAACACAAAGCUCUUGCUCACCUAGAAAAAAUAAAAAGUAGCUUUUAUUCUAUUUAAUCUAGUUAACACUUGCUUGCGGGGAACACAUGGAAGAGAAUUUUCUUUCUUGAGCAAUGAAAACAUAAAUUAAGGGAGUGAAAGUUAUGAAAACACAACAUGAUACUAGAGUAACUCAUUAACACCCACGAGUGUCUCAUCAUUAAUUCUCGCAAGGACUUCGCUUCAAUCAUUGCUUGCUGAAACUUUUCUUGUCUAGUGACGAGAUUAUGCCAAAGAAAUUAUUCAUGCAUAAGGUUUCGCAGAGGCUUAAGCUUGAGUACUAUUGAUGAGUCCAAAUUGUGUGAUUAUUUCUACGAGUAUUUUGUGCCAACUCCAUAGGCUUUGUGGAAUGUUACUGCGUUCACACACUAUUUUUGUCAUUUUUCCCCAGGACACUUCUUUUGGAACAAAUGGAAAACUAUGGUAGGAAUCACAUGAUAUUAUGGUGGAAUCACAUAAAUCAAUGUGAUUAUACCUUACCAUAAAUAGAAUAAAAUACUUAAAGGAAAUUGGAUCUGGCGCAGUCCAACAAAGUGCAACACGGGCAACCAUACGAGCGCACGUGCUCGUGCAUGCAGCCGUAUGGCAUGCUGGUAGCUCCCUCCCGUCGACUACUUCUUCCCUAUGGAUAAAGAUCGCCGAAUAGACACACACACACACACACACACAUACACACAACCACCAGAAACACAUCCAGGAGGAGAACCCUAACUUUUUGAACCCAUCCAGAGGGGAAUUGGUAAGGAGGAGAUCGCCAUCUUCACCACCAGGUGCAAGGGGACGUUGGCAUCAUCACCACUGUCAUCAUCAUCAUAAUCCACAUCAAUCUUCAUCUCGUUGUAAUAUCAGAACUCUAGUGGAUCAUCAUGCGUGUUACUUGUUUGAUUCAUCCAUGUUUAUCGUGCAUAUUCUGCUUCCCCUAUGUAUGAGUAAACCCCCUAGUUCUUAGGGAUAUGGAUGAAUCUUGGUAUGUAUAGGAGCUGAAACGUUAAUAUGUGAUAUUUUCUGUUGAAUGAUUUAGUUUAAUAGACUUCGUGAAUGUUGUGAAGGCUCCUCCCUCAAAAUUAUCACCGAAAGGUCACAAAGUAUAUUACUGUCGUUUUAAGAGUUAGCGAGUGAAGGUAAUUCGAGGUGACAGCAAAAGCAUUCACCCCUAGGUUUUACAAUUGAUUAGGGAAUUACGGAGAACCUUAGUGAGGCCGCGUCCAUAGAGAGACCCUUAAUUACCGUAGUCGUAACUUGUUGGGGGAGACUACUGUAGUGGCAUGCGUGGCAUGAAGUCUACCUAGAGUAGAAUGUGCUCUGUGCCCGGCUAUGCCCGGUGUAAACGUCAAGAAUGGUGUAAGUACAUCUAGUGCCUCCUUUGUGGUUAUAGACUACUGAAGACAAAUGUGUUAAGAGACUAAUGUGUUUGUGAGUGUACAUAGGUGAAAAGUCACAGAAGAUGUUGUUUAACCAUGAAAGACGACCCCUAAAAAUGUACGUUUAGAUUGAAUAAAUUGGUGCGCCCCUUUGAAGAAAUUGACGUGACGAAUUGGAACGUGAAGAUUUUGUUCCAGUAGUUUCUUUUUUCUUAUAUUGAUUCAUAGGAAACACCAUACUGUUAAAGGGGGUCUAGGUCAUAUGUAUGCGUAUUUCCGAAGUGAUGCUCAACCUACCUAUUUCUUCGAGUGAAGACUAUGAAAAUCUCUUGAAGUGCAGUCGAGUUCCACAACAACAGAGACACAGUUCUUCUGUUCGUUGACGAAAUUGGUCUGAAGGAAGAGUUAGGAUUUCGCCGGUGUGAUUCUCCUACCGUGAGAAAUUUGAGAGUUUAAAUUUCCAACCGUUGCCGGACUAAGGCGGUUCUCGAGUCUAAGCCCGUCAUAAGUGUUGUGGCAACGGAGGUGCAAGAAGUGCUGAAGGUGGGGUACUAUCGAUGUCAUGGUGAGCGGUCUGAGGACCGGCAUGUCAUUCGCCAGUGACAAGAGUUCCGAGGUGGUGUACAAGUCAUCCUUCAUGUGUUUCUUGGUGCAGGUUCGGAGCUAGCAAAAACACAAGGAUGCUGAACAAAAGCACCCCAUCUCAUAUGAGCUGGCGCUAGUCCAGCCUCACCGUGCUGCCGCCACCACCUAUGUUAUUUGGCUUCGCAAUCCCCUCCUCCACGGAGAGAGGCAUGGGUUUACUUGGUGUGGAGUUCGACGUCACCUGCGGCGAGAGUGGAUGUCACAUAACUUUACAAGUGGGAUCCACCAAGAUACAGUGCCAUGUAGGCAAAGUUUGCGGUUACAUGCGAGAAAUGCACCAUAUUAGCCAACUGAUUGUACCAGAAAUCGAUUUCCAUCUUUUGGCAUGAAAAUGAACAUGCAAGCCAAGUUUAGGGACCACGGGUAAAUUCAUCUCUUAAAUAAUACAAAAGGCUUUUUCAUCCUCCCACAUCCUCCCUUUUACUCAUUGGAUAUCCACACACUACAGAGGAGCUUAGUAGCAGCGCUUUUUAUAAGAAAGCGCUGCUGCUAAAGAAUGGUAGCGCUUGUCACCGAAGAGCACUGCUAAUAUCCAUCUAGCAGUAACGCUUUUGUUACAAAAAACGCUACUACUAUAGUUGCCAACGGUUGCAUGGCAGUGUAGGUAUACUAGUAGCGCUCUUAAUUAAAAAGCACUACUGCUAUUGUACAUAGCAAUAGCGUUGUCCUCUGUCGAGCGCUACUGCUAUUUUUUCAGGUGUAUGUGUGGGCUGAUAUAUAACUGUACAACUUUCUCAUGUUGCGAGUGAAAGACAUUGUGAGUUUUCCAUGAUCUUGCUUAAAUACAGGUACGACUACUGAACUGAAAUUAAUCUUAUCGUGCAUAUUCACUUGCAAUUGGUAUUCGUAAAUCUACAACACAUGUCAUUAAUGCAACACAGCUUGAUCAUGGAUAUAAAAAAUGAUUAUUGUUCUUUGUAUGCACAUAUGUAUUGGUGGUUCAUCAAUGCCAUAUGCAUCUUGGCUAUAGAUAUCCAAAUUGUUAGUGUUUUAUCUCCACACAAAUAUGUUGAUCCUCCUAUUGGACAUGCUGGUCUUAGUGCCCUCUCUAUUCACAAAUAUGUUAAUGCUCAGUUUAGAUCUUCUCGUAUUAAUACACUUCUAGCUUCUAUUGGAUGGUGAAUGCAACAUUUCAUUUGUAUUAAUAUGUCUACUUGUUAUUGCGGGGAAUAUUAAUAUGUCUAAUGUAGCUUCAUUAAUGCAACUCAACUUGAUCAUGGUUUAAAUGAUCAUUGUUCAUUUUAUGCCCUUGCAAAAAAAAGAAGGGUUCAGUGUAUGUAUAGAUAUAUUGACAUGAUACAUGUUUUAGAUAACCUUGCAUUAAUAUGUCUAAUUUCCAUUUCUGUUCUCUUUCCUCGUUCUACAGAUUUCAUAUUUGUAUUCAUUUUAAGAGUUCUUCAAGAUGCACAUAAUUUAGUCACUGGUUACAAUCUAAAUGUAAGAAAGCACAUAAUCUGUAGAACGUGCAACCUAUGUGUUAUCCAUGUGAUAAAAUUAAAAUCAACAUCCUAGAUCAAAUGUCCAAGUCAACUAAAAAGAGAUUUCCUUACAAGUAAUGUCAAGCCGCAUUUUCAAAUCACAAACAGUUUUGAGCAAUGAAUGAUCUCAAAAAAAAAUCAUCCUGCCUGCCACCGUUUAUCUCUUUGGAUGUCCACAUAUUGUGUUUUUUUUAUGGUGAGCGUCUGUGCCAAUAGAUAAACUAACGAGUUUUUCAUCUUGUGAUCGAGUCAAAGAUAUUCGAUUCUGUGUUUUUCAUGAUCUUGCUUGUACGUACGACCAUGAAACUACUAUUGUUAUCGUGUAUGAAUACUUGCAACAGGGUGCUUCAGCGCCAGCACCGACCAUGGAUGCACAUGAGUAUGCAUGGAUGCGUGCAUGUAACGACCUGAUCGCUCCUGCAGGUGAAAGUACAUGUUUCUCUUAGGUCUGUGCACCAUCAAGGCCUUGAACAGUUCCUUCAUGAGUGUCAAGUGAGACUUCAUGUCUCUAUGGUGAACAGACAAACUUCAGCGGAUAUGUUGCUCUCAUGGCACGGCAAAGACAAGAACAAUAGAUGGACUCUUGCCACUAGUAGUAUUGAUCCACGCUUGACACAUGACUACUCAUGGAGAAGACCCAUUCCUUUAUAACAUUUCCCUUUUAUUCAGUCUGUUUUGGUGAAUCAGCAGUUAGAAGAACUUCUUCUUCUGUUAAAAAUAGGUUUUCUAACCCAAAUUAAAGUUAGAUUUCACAAGGAGUGAACCAGUGACAUUGUUGUAUCCCCUUGAAGCAGAGAAGACAUGGGUGCGACAAUCAUAUUUCCAAUCAUCCAGCUGGUCUUUUACAAGUAUCCCUUCUUGAAUACUCGGUUCAAUAAAUAAGUUGUUCACACUUCACAGCCAUCCAUGUGCAUAUAUAGUAAGUUAAUAACACAAAAUCCGAGUAAAUUUAUGCGACAAUAAGGUUUAUUAUUGUUAUUUCAAAUAACUGAUGCGACAACAAAUAAUAUUAAUCACGGACAUCAUAUGAUAUUAGUAAGGUGUUGUUGAGGAUGAGAAGCAUGUACAACUCCUCGUUUUCUCUGAUGAGCGCCUCCGCACCAGGCAUAUCUGGAAGCUCUAACCAACACAUGAUGAUAGGGUUGUAAUUAAUAUCCACACAGUCGGGCAGAUGCAAGAACUGCUGCCCACUCUUGUCACCUUGGUAGUCCUUGAUCAGGCCGUGGCACACGUUGAGGCGUCUCACCACACCUUCAUACUCCACCUCACAAUAACUGAGAACAUGCAUUGCCACUGUUCCCUUCUUGGCAUCUUGCAGCUUUUGCUUGAUCUUACGACUAGCGGCAGUGACACGGCUCUUAAAGAUGUCGACAGUGACAAGCACUAAGUCACGGAGGUCCUUAGCCUCAGCACUUCGAUUGUCCGACUGAAGGGUGGACAAGCAGAAUUCUUGCGUGAUAGAUUUGUUGUAGGGGUUGUUGAUCGAGGCCUUCUUGCAUGUUUCCACCAUGAGCUUGGUCGCCUUGGGCUUGCCAGUGUCAGAGCCACUAGCAUGAGCGGAAAAAAGGAAGAAGAUGAUGGUGGAGAGGACGAUGGUAGUCCUUGGCAUUGCUACCAUUACUACAGGGCUAGCUAGAAGCCUUGAAGUACUGAAGCGCUGAGAGGGAGGUGGAGAAAAAUAGACAGAGAAGG